UUUUUUUUUUCCUUUUAAGUUUAAAAUAUCCAUGCAGAGAGAAAUGAAAGGUCUGGAACUUUACAGUUAAAAUCAUUUUCCUAAUCUUCGUUCAAUUGAUUAAACAAAAUUUUCUUUAAUACUCAAUUUGUAAUAUGGAUGAUUCAUUCCAAUUUUGAUCCUUGUUAUUUGACUUAUAAAAGUGAGAGAUGCUUCAUUUUUAUUUUUAUUUUGCUUUCAGCAGCAAAUUCAAGAUAUCUUGAUAUAUAUAUAUAUUAUAUAUAUAUAUAUAUAUAUAUAUAUAUAUAUAUAUAUAUAUAUAUAUAUAUAUAUAUAUAUAGUAUAGUAUAUAUAUAUAUAUAUCUAUAUAUAUAUAUAUUAUAUAUAUAUAUUUAUUAUAUAUAUAUAUUAAAGAUUGUAACUAAUUGUCUACCUAUGAUGGCCUAUAGUCAUCUAGGCAUGAACAAGUUUGUAUUCAAAUAAGUAAAUCAUCCAACCUGUAAACCAAAUUAAUUAAUCUCAAUGUCAUAUCUUUCAUCAUAUGAUUCAGGACCACUAAACAAAAACAUAUAAAACUUUGUUUACAAGUGUUAAAUGGUAACAAAAAAAUAGAGAUAUAAGAAAAGUCAAAGAGCAAAAAAUAGAGAGAAAAUUGGACUAUAAGUAAAGGUUAACAUCUCCAUUUCAAUCCCAAGAACCACCAUACUUUGUUAUUGAGAUCUCAUGUGCUUUUUGUAACCCCUCCAUAUGCUUGCACACUCUCAUGCAUACAUAAAUAUAGGUAUAAAGAAAAAGAGAAUGAGAUUCCAUACAGAUAAUAAAGUGAAUGGACCCAAUGAUUGAUCUUUUUCCUUACAUUUUUACCUUUCUUAUCCAUCACUCCAACACUAACCUUCAGAAGCCACAUAUCAACCUUCAUACUUCAAAUAUAUAAAAGUUACUUACAAGAAAAACAUGAUUUAUGGUAUAAUAUCUCACCCAACGAAUCAUCCUUCAAGCUUCCUUGAUUCUUCCUCCAUGAUUAAACAUUUUUAAUGAAUAUACACUUUUGGUCUAAAAUAAUUUUAUAUCUACCUUCAAGAACACGGAUUGCAAUUUGCUGCAGUCACACAGUCUCGGCAAUCAUGCAGUCAAGUUUGUUUGACCAUCCGAUCAAAAUCAGACAAUUUUUAUUUUAAAUUAGCAUUUUUUAAUUAUAAUAUAAAAAACAAUUUUAUUUUUUAGAAUCGUGUCAUUAAGAUCAAACGAUUUAUAAUACAAUGAUUGGUUGAAUCCAUCGAAAAUUGACCGCAAAAAAUCUAUUUUCUAAGAACAUAUUAUCAUAUAUUGUCGUGUCAAUCUAUUUUAUGGUUGAAAAAGUUAUUUCAAAAAUACUAAAUUUUCAAUAGACAUCAACAUAAACCUAAUUUACAUUGACGAUGCAUAUCAACUCAUAUUCUCAUAUACUUUAAUAUGAAUCAUAUAUCUAUUACACAUAAUUAAAAAGACUAAUCAUUCAAAUAAAUAAAAAAACACAACAGACAACAAAAUUGUUUUUCAAAAUAUACAAUAGAAUUUGAAUCUAAAACCUUUAAUUUAACUCGAAAAUAAAAUUGUCAUCUCAUUCAUAAUUCAAACAUGAUUAUAACUUUAUUAUGAAUAAUUCAUUAAUUAAUAUUUAAUGACAUUCAUCACCUUUUGACACACUGCCAAAGUGUCGAAAAAAUGAUGGAAUCAUCCCUCGUGGUUUAGUUUCCAAAAAGCAAUGCCCUUCACAAGAGGUUGUAUGGCAGAUCCCCACCUUCCCAUGUUACAACUUCCCCUCUUACCUGUCCCUACGUUCCCUACAUUUUAUAAAACCUCUCACCUCCCUCUCUUCCCUCUCCCUCCAAUCUCUCUCUCUCUCUCUCUUCACAUUACUCACACACUUUUCAUAAUGUGUAGCUCUAAGGCUAAAGAAACUAUAGUCCUAGAAUCUUCCACAACACCUCCUCAUGUUUCUAGAAUCAAUGGAAGACAAGUACUUCAACCUACAUGCAACCAUGUUCUUGUUCCAAAUCUUGAAAGAAGAAACUCAAUGAAAAAACUUACAUCAAAAUCACUUUUUUCACCACCACUUCCAAACAAGACUUCUACUACUACUACUACUACUUCAUUGUCACCACCAAUUUCUCCAAAGCCAAAAUCUCCUACUAGACCAUUCUUAGCUAUAAAGAGAGGAAAUGACAACAAUGGAAUGAACUCAAGUUGUGAAAAGAUUGUUAUACCAAAAAACACAAUGAAAACUCCAUGUUUAGAGAGAAAGAAAUCAAAGAGUUUCAAAGAAGGGUCUUAUGGUGUUGAAGCUUCUUUGAGUUAUUCUUCUUCUUCGAUCACUGAUUCUCCAGGAAGUAUAGCGGCAGGGAGAAGGGAACAGAUGGCACUUCAACAGGCACAAAGGAAAAUGAAGAUUGCUCAUUAUGGAAGAUCGAAGUCUGCGAAAUUUGAAAGAGUUUUUCCUAUUGAUCCUUCAAGUGCUCUUGAUUUAAAGACUAGUAAUGAAGAGGAGAAGAGGUGCAGCUUUAUCACAGCCAAUUCAGGUAAUUUCGUAGUAAAUAAUUUGAUACAAGUUCUUAUAUACCCUUUUUGCUUUAUCUUAAUGUUAAUCUAUAUGUCUCUUUUGAUGAAUAGAUCCUAUCUAUAUUGCUUAUCAUGAUGAAGAAUGGGGAGUUCCUGUUCAUGAUGACAAGUAAGCUCCUAUUUUUCUAUCUCUCUCACAGAUACGGACAUCUGACACACACCAACACGUCAACAACAAUUGUUUGAGAAAACGAAUAUUUAAAUGUAAUUACAUGUAUGUGUUUCAUGUCAAUAUUGAAUACUAACACAUGUUAGAUAUCAGACACAUCUUUAAUAUAAUUACAUGAACUGACACAUGUCAGUCAUGGACAUCUGACACACAGUAACACGUUGAUUCUGAUAGUUUGACAAAAAGACUAUUUUAAUGUAAUUACAUGUGUAUGUGUUUUGUUCGUGUCAGAUACAAAUACGUGUUAGAUAUGAGAUAUCGAACACGUAUUCAAUCUGAAAUAUCGUGUCAGAUAAUAAUACAUGUCAGAUAUCAAACAUGCUUACAAUAUGAAUACGAAGGAUCAGUUAUCUACAAACACACAUAAACUAAUUGCAACAAAAAUGAAUUUGCUGAGACAAAUGAUGAAGACUAACAAAAACCAUAUGUUAUUGUCCAUAAUUCAGGAUGUUGUUUGAACUUCUAAUUCUAAGUGGUGCUCAAGUUGGAUCUGAUUGGACCUCAACCUUAAAAAAACGCCUAGAUUUCAGGUUUGAUUCUGCUAAAAGCCAUUCAUAUGAAUAAACAUAAACAUUUUUUUAUUUUAUUUCUUGUUUUUGAUGGAACUAAUAAUAAUUUUUAAAUUUAUGUACAGGGUUGCAUUUUCAGAAUUUGAUGCAGAAAUUGUGGCCAACUUCACUGAUAAACAAAUGAUAUCUAUUAGUUCAGAAUAUGGCAUUGAUAUAAGCAAAGUUAGAGGAGUUGUUGACAAUGCUAACCAAAUUUUACAAGUUAAAAAAGUGUUUGGUUCAUUUGACAAAUACAUAUGGGGAUUUGUGAACCAAAAACCAAUCUCAACUCAAUACAAAUUUGGCCACAAGAUUCCAGUGAAGACAUCAAAAUCAGAAAGCAUAAGCAAAGACAUGAUUAGGAGAGGUUUUAGGUUUGUUGGUCCAACAGUGGUUCAUUCAUUUAUGCAGGCAGCUGGCCUAACAAAUGAUCACUUAAUCACUUGCCAUAGGCACUUGCAAUGCACUUUCUUGGAAGCUAUGUAAGAGAUUGUUAAUUGACCCUACAAGAGCUCAAGAGAUGGAUUGAAAGUAAUGUAAUUCAAUGUGCUAACUAUAGUUUACUUCAUGUUAAUUGUUGUGUAUAGUAUUAGAGAUAGGUUUAAAAGUUUUUCUUUUUCUUUCUGAUUUGUGAGUUGUUGUGAGAAUUUUAAUGAUAAGUUUGAGUGUGCUAAAGCUUUUUCAUUUGCAUAAUUCAAGAAGAAAAAGGUUUUGGAUGGUCAUUUUGCGCGUUAACUCUCUCACGCAUAAUCGUUUUAAGUUUUUUAAGAUUCAGUGUUAGUUAGUUACGAUUCAACAGUUGAAAAAUGAAUAGGAUCCUAUUUAGACAGGUUUAACAAUGACAAAUAUUUUUUGAAAGUCAUGUGCGGUAGUCCACCUUACACAUCCUCAAGACGACUUUAGUGUCACGCAUUUUUUAAUCUCAAAUGCUUGAAGAUUGUAUAAAGUUGAUUUUUAUUGUGUGUAAUCUGAAUCGGCUAAUCUCAAACUUAAGCCCAAUGCAAUAAUUGUGUCGCACAUUUUUCAAUCAUCUGAUCUCAAAUUAACAACUAAAAUCAUUUAAAGUGAAUAUAAACCCUUAGAUAUCAGAUUAGUGAUCACAACGAGAUAAUUUACUGCGUGUAAAAAUGAAUGCAUGAGAGAAUCCAAAUCCAUCUGAUCUCAAAUUAACGAUCAAAAUUAUUUAAAGUGAACGUGAACCAUCUGAUCUCAGAUUAACGAUCAAGACGAGACCGUUAUAAGUCCGAACACGAGAGAAUCGAGAUCCUAUAAUAAGUGGUGGGAGUGUUAGGGAACAGUCAGCAAGUGCAUGUGCAAAUGGGAGACAAUGGCAUGUGUGGUGUCAGUUUGCUUUGCAAAAGACCAUGUGACCCAUCAAAACUUUGCAUUAUUUGGUUUCCUUUAACAGGCUGUGUGGGAUACUAGUUGAAGGGUAUGUAGGGACCAAUGUAACAUUUCUCUUUGCUUUGUUUAUCAAGUUUUGUUAUUUUAUCUUUAUUGUAUUCUUCUAACUUUUUGGCUUCAGUGAAUAUGAUAUUAAUAUAUUAUACACUUUUCCAAUAUAUUUUGGACUUGGUGUGGAUCUUUUGAGUGGCCUUCAAUUCAUUUCUCAUGUGCUUAUGUACUAUUUCAUUGUUACUACUAACUUUAUAUAUUACUUUUUCUAUUUUUUUUAUAACUUGUUAAGAUAAGUAUAUCAUAUCUUCUCCCAUGUGGCCAUUUCACUUUCUUUCUUGUAAUUGGUUACAACAACAUUGAAUAUGCUUUAAACUAAUUAAUGAUUGUAGCUAUUGUUGGGGGUAGUAUUUAUCAUCGUUACAUUGCACAUGCAUAGAAGAAACUACUUGCAAAUGUAUAAGAAUCACUAACAUUAAUUUUCUCAACUGAACAAAAGUGUAACAGAAUAGAUAGCUAGUAUGUUAUAGAUGAAGUAAGAAAAGUGUAGGUGUGUUGCGGUCACUUAUAUAACACUCGUACAACAUGUAUAAAAAAUAAAUACAUAUCGAAAAAGUUAUAUCAGUGUUCUCAAAAAUAUGAUUUUUUCUGUUUCAAUAUUUUAUAUAAUUACAUUCAAUUUUUUUAUUUUUUAGAAUUAUUUAAAUGUCAACGUGUCAAUCUUAACGUCUAGUUCCGUGUCAGAAAACAAUAUUAUAACUCUUACUAUUAAUGGAGUUAGUUACAUGAAUAUAAAACAAAGUGUGUUAUUGAGAAUUAGAUUAGUAUCUUAUAACAGACUAUUUUUAUACAAGUCUUUCUAAACGAUUCUCUAGCAAACACCAAAAAGAAAAGAAAAAUAUUUCAUGUUAGUUGUCAAUCCAUGUGCCUCUCACAUUCUCUGUGCUUCUAAUAAGCACCAUUGGUCAUUUCUUGGCUCAAUUUGAUUGUUUUUCUGACAUUUUCUAACUUUCAGGUUAAGCAAGUAUAAAAAACUACAAAUAAAGAACUUUCAUCAUACUAGAAGAGAAAAAUAAGGAAUAUUCUUUUGUUUCUGAAGGAGACAUGGAUGCAAAAUUUUCGCAAGUUUUUCAUAUUAAUAUAUAAAGUUCCCACCUUUCAUGAAUUCCCCAUCUUCAUGCUGAAGCACUUGCCAAUUUGUUAGGGAUGAAUAUGUAUAACACAAAGUUUGUAUACUCCAUUCAUUCAACCUCGAAAGUGUAAUUGACUUGUUAUUGAUAAGCCAAACAUGUUUUUAAUUUAUUUUAUUGAAUAGUUAACUUCGAAUUUUUUUUAAAUAAAAAACAUUUUCAAAUUAUAUUUUAAAAUAAUCAAUAUUACAAAUAAUUUAUCAAAUUAGUCAUAUUUCAAACAAACAAAAAAUUGUUGACAAGAAGAGUAACCACUAUGAGUAGCGCGUGCAUAUAAAAUUUGAAAGAAAACGUCAUACCCUAUGGCGACUGCAAGUGGCGCUGCAUGCAUCUUCUAGAAGGAUGCGCCACAGGCAGUGGCUACUGCUUUAUUUAGGAUUUCUAUAAAUAUUGCAUCCUCUCUCCAUCAUUUUUCACACAUCUUCUAAAUCUCAUCAAUAUUUCUUUAAAAUGUCUUCAUAUAUGUGUUCUUAUAUUCACAAGAGAAAUAACAAUUUAUUUGUUCGGCAGUAAAACUCCGAUGAAGAUUCGACUCUGGAACACAGAGACGUCUGAGCAUCUAAAUAGGAGUUUGAUAUGUUGGUUAGAUUAAUACAUUGUAAAGGGUGAAAAAAGCAGAAGAAUUUAAAGGCUAGUUACAAUGUAUAACAACAAUGGAGAAAGUCGUUUAUGGGACUCAAUUAAAACUGACAGAGAUGUUCGCAUUAUGAUGCACAUUUCUGAGAAAAUUGUCCGGAUGGUUGUAACCUUAAUCAUCUUCAUAUCCGCAUGGUCCCUCAUUUCAUUGGCAUGGGUAUGGUUCAAUACAAGAGAACGGGUAUCUUGGAUUCAAAUCUUUGUGCUUAUUGUUAAUUCCUUAGGAUUGGCAUUAAUUUUGUAAAACAAAUAAUGUAAUCAUCUCUGUUGUUUUAAUAUGUUGGGUUGAAGAAGUUCAACAUCUGGACCAACAUGUCAUGUACGAUGUCACACGACAUCACUGUGACAUCGUACAUGGUGAAAACAUAUUAAUUAUUCAGUAUUUAUUCUGGGUUAGUAAGGAUAUUUGGUGAAUAUCCUAACUCCCAUGUGAGUCUUGAAGACUCAAUCAGAAGAUAUAUAGGCUCAAAGUAAGGAGAUAUAUAUGGAGAGAUUUUAGGGAUUGAAGACCUUGUUUGUAGCCAGAAUUUUUCUGCUGAAAGUUGUAACAGCAAAGAAACAAGUCUGUGCGAUUUCUGAAGGCCCCAAAUCCAGUUGGGUGAUUAGUUAUAAAUAGCUAAUUGUAACCUAGUUUUUGUUAAGCCUCUUAGAAUGAAAAUUUAGGGGUGUGUGUGAGGUAAACCUCCCAAAUCUGUGGAGAGUUACCAUGUGUUUCUCAGUGGUAAAACCUGAGAGUUUUGUAACCCCGCACCCCACCGCCCGCGCCCCCCCCCCCGGCCCCCCCCCCCCCCCCGCCACCCCCCCCCCCCGCCCCCCCCCCCCCUCCCGCAGGCUGAGGCAAAGUGAUUUGUUUCUUGAAUGAAGCUGUGAAGCAAGUUCAAGGUGUGUUAACAUUACAUUGUAUUUGUAGUGAUAGGAAUGGAACCCUGGAGGUUUCUAUCUAGGAGUUCCUAGGUAAUGAUUCAUUGGUAGGAUAAGUGAAGAGUUGUAGAACGGGUGAGUUUAACUCUGAUUAAUACUGCUAAUAGGGAUCUUCUUCCUGAUUGGUAGCCCCCAGAUGUGGUUCAUGUUGGACUGACUGGUUAACAAUUUCCUGUGUUGUUAUCCAUUCUGCAUGAUGUUUAUUUACUGUCAUAAGCUCAGCAGGUAUUCCAGUCAGCUUAUCAAGCUGAUAACAGACCUGGUAUAUAGCCUUCUGUUUGAAUGUCAAUCAGAAAGGUGUGUAACAUUCAUCAGUGGGCAAGCGUAUACUGAAAAAGCAGGUUUAUUUUAGUAUCAGUAUUUAUUUUAGUCUGUUCUAUCAAGAGUAACAGACAUGGCUGAAGGAUCAGUGUGAAACUGUCAAACUGGAUGUUUUGACAGUUGUACUGAAGGCAUGAUACUGAAGUAGAAGACUGAGUUGGUCUUUUACAGUAGCUGCUAACUUAGCACAGUAUUUCCAGGAAAUAACAGAAUCAAACAUAUUUCUGGAUGUCGAACAGAAGGUCAUGACAUUCAUUCCCAAUAGCAAGGUGCUAAAGUGUAGGAAGAUUGGUUUUCAGUUCAGUAUUUUUCUCAGGCUAUUCUUCAGGGAUUCAAUAGCUGAGCUAAAAUCCAGAAAACCACUACUCACCUACAAUUAAUGAACCUAACAACUAGACCUAGUUGUUAGCAUCUAAUAAGUGGAAAUUAGAUUAACAUGUUCAACCUUAAUUCAGGAAAUCACAAGUAAAAGGAANNNNNNNNNNNNNNNNNNNNNNNNNNNNNNNNNNNNNNNNNNNNNNNNNNNNNNNNNNNNNNNNNNNNNNNNNNNNNNNNNNNNNNNNNNNNNNNNNNNNNNNNNNNNNNNNNNNNNNNNNNNNNNNNNNNNNNNNNNNNNNNNNNNNNNNNNNNNNNNNNNNNNNNNNNNNNNNNNNNNNNNNNNNNNNNNNNNNNNNNNNNNNNNNNNNNNNNNNNNNNNNNNNNNNNNNNNNNNNNNNNNNNNNNNNNNNNNNNNNNNNNNNNNNNNNNNNNNNNNNNNNNNNNNNNNNNNNNNNNNNNNNNNNNNNNNNNNNNNNNNNNNNNNNNNNNNNNNNNNNNNNNNNNNNNNNNNNNNNNNNNNNNNNNNNNNNNNNNNNNNNNNNNNNNNNNNNNNNNNNNNNNNNNNNNNNNNNNNNNNNNNNNNNNNNNNNNNNNNNNNNNNNNNNNNNNNNNNNNNNNNNNNNNNNNNNNNNNNNNNNNNNNNNNNNNNNNNNNNNNNNNNNNNNNNNNNNNNNNNNNNNNNNNNNNNNNNNNNNNNNNNNNNNNNNNNNNNNNNNNNNNNNNNNNNNNNNNNNNNNNNNNNNNNNNNNNNNNNNNNNNNNNNNNNNNNNNNNNNNNNNNNNNNNNNNNNNNNNNNNNNNNNNNNNNNNNNNNNNNNNNNNNNNNNNNNNNNNNNNNNNNNNNNNNNNNNNNNNNNNNNNNNNNNNNNNNNNUUCUUCCUGAUGCACAGAACCAGGUGUUCAUCCAUUCUAGGGUGACAUAGAAUGAGAUGUCGUGACAUCUGUGAACGUGUGCAUAUUAGUGGUUAAUAACUAUCUUGCUGUAUUAGUUACAAUGUUAGAUCAAAUGUCAUGACUUGGAGUAGAACAUCUGAAUUCUGACUAAGCCAGAAUUUCAAUUGGUAUCAGAGCAGGCAUCCUGUUCUGCUUCUGGAUGAAAUCCAUGGGUGAUACUUUCUGGUAUAUUGCAAGAAGUUAUGUUGGAACCAGUGGAAGGUUCUGUAAUUUCCAUGAAUGGUCCCUUGAAGUAGGUGGAUGGACUGUUCAUGAGAGAACUGAUGUGUACCUGUAUCUGGAGGUUGGCAAUUGGCCUGUGGAUGGGACAUUUGUGUCAGUAUUGAAUCACAUUCAAACUUGGUAUGGACUUGGAGGGUGAUCUGGUGAAAAGGGUGUUCUUAGGUUGAGUUGUAUUAUGAUUUCCGCUGCAUAAUACCUGGCAAAACUCAACCUCUGAUGUAGUUUUCCCUCAAGUGGAUGAAAGAAUGCUGAAUUCAAGAUUCCAUCAUACUCGAGUGAAGAUGUCAAAGAUACUUGAGUCCCAUAAAGUCCACUCUUCUUGGUAAGAAUCACCUGAUCACUGAUUCUUGUACUCUCCUGGUCAGUGGAUAUGAAAACCUUGAAGGCUUUCAAGGAGGGCCUGCUUCAGGGAGGUUAAACUGAUGUUAUAUGUGAUGUUAGAACAUGUUGUUCAACAAGUAUGCAGCUACUGGUUGAAGAGCAGAUGGUUUUAGGAGUCAAACAAAGGAAUACCUUGGUUUGAAACCUACUCCUGACCUGGAAGAGGAGACAUCUGUGUGAGCUAAGUUGACUAGGAUAGGGUCAACUGUGUGUAUGCUCAAGAAGGUCACUUUUAGAAGUUGGAUCUCUAGAAGUGGAGCUGGUUGAAAAGUGACACGGUGCAAUCCCCGCUGUGUGCCUUAUCCCUGUAGAUUGAUCAGGGUUGGGCAGUUGGUUUCUGAAGUACUAUAGUGUACCAGAAGACAUGUCCCCUGGAUGAUAGAAGUCAAUAAUAGGGCAACCUGACUGCUAUUCCAUUCAAGAGGAUUGGGACCAUGAAUCUUGUUAUUCAAACACCACGAUCAGAAGUGACAGUUCUUUCAAGGAGUGAGAAUAUGAAGAUUCAGAGGUUGGUUGAGGUAGUAUGCUCUGGCAAUGCAUAUCUACUAUGAACUAGUGUUGUUGUCUUUCACUAGUACUCAUGGUCAGCUGAAGUCUGAUUGGCGUGAUUGGAGUAAGUCUAGGUACAACUCAUAGAGUUAGGUGCCACUGGUAGGAAUGGUGUAUGUCAUGUUGAGACAUAUCUGUACAAUGCAUGGAGAUUGGUGUGAAGUUUCCAUGAUUGUUAAUUUGAGGGGGAGUUUUGGUUAACCUCCUCACAUUUGGUCAGCCUAGGGUCUGGUUGGCUGUUGACCUGUGUCACAUGGGUUCUGGUGGUUGUGUGACACACUUGCAAGGAAGAAUUCAUCUCUCUCAUUCCUAAGGGUGAAUUUAAUCUGGGAAGAUUUUCAAAAUUGUCUAGGUGCUUGCAAGCAGAAGAUGUUGACACAAGAAGAGUACUUUCAAAGUAUUCUUAUGGUGGAAGUAUCUGAAGGGAUGAUUGGGAAAGGAUUUAAGAUCAAUGUCUACUUGUGCCAAGUACAAGUGUUUAAUUGAUUAUCCUUGGAGCUCAAGAUAACUGAUGUUCUUAAAGAUGUUGGAACAUCACUUCUUCAAGACCCUGUGCAGAAUCACAGGAAGGAUAGUACAUUGGCUUAUGAUCUAUCUCUUUGGUGGCAGCAAAAGCAUAUGAUCUCUGAAAAGGUUUCCUGGCAAGAAACAUGUUCAGCCUUGGUAUGUACAAGAAGAAGAAGACAUCAUAGUCUUGAUGGUGGUUACUUGGAUCAGUUUAUUUCUGAUCUAGGUAAGGAAGUGCAUUAGCUUAUGCACACUGUGGAGUCAAGAACAAGUGGCAGCAGUCUUGACAUCAUGGAAACAGCCUUGCCUUAGGAUGUGGAAUCCUUGGUAGAGCUGAAGGGUUAGUUUCUAACUGGUCCUUCUGAAGACUCAUACAUCAGAGUGUCUGAUGUCUUUGGAGAAGAAGCAGGGAUUCAUCAAGGUGUGAGCUUGGAUGACUUAACUGCAAACCUGCAGGAUGGAGGUUGUUUACUCAAACUUGGUUCCACAAUCAAGUCUAUGAGAACAUUGAACUCUUGUUCUGUGAAGGGAGGAAGUUCUUUCAAGUGGCAGAAGAAGGAGCUGAAUUCAACAGCUAGAUGUCAAAACACAAUGUUGUGACAUUUGGUUCAACAUCAGAUUCUUAGUUGGUGAAGUGGCACAUCAACUUAAGAUAGAAGGGUCUACAGAGUUGUAGAUUGGGUACUUCAAAAGGAUCGUUCUCAUUGCAGUUCUUAGGAGUUGCUGGUUGGAGAAGAUGUUACAUGUUCAUGUCUUAGAGACCCUAAGCUUUGUUUAACAUGUAACUUGAAGUUCAAAUCUCACUUGGAAGAUCAGAAUAUCUUUGGGAGAAGUCUGAUAAACUUGGGGAGGUCAAAAAGCAGCAUUUGACCUUUUCAUAUGAGGAUUCAUGAAGGAGGUAAUCAACCAGUGGCAUUUGGUCUAUCUCAGAAGUGAGUUCGAAGAAUCAAGAUAAUCCAUAUAUGGCAGCUGAUUAUUCUUGAGGAAAGUCUGAGACAAAUUACUUUUGAGCAGAAAAGUAGUAAGUUGAAGACAAAAGGAGGUGUUUUCUAUUCAUCCCUUGGAGCUUGUGGUAGGAGUUCUGAGCCAUCUAUGGAAGAUUAUCUCUUGUAAUGGGAUGAAAAUGUAUAUGUCCCAAUGUAUGUCUGGGUUCUUCUUGAUCAACCCGGUGACUCAGUGAUAUCUGAAGACUAUCAGAUGGUGUGCCUUGUCCUGUUAUGAAGGAUGUCCCAGCUGAUGUUAGAACAUCUUGUGAAGUGGUCUUCUGUUCUGGUUAGAAGAGAGAUUGACACAGAGUGUGAAUGUGUUCAGCUAAGAGGGUUGAACAGAGGGUGUGCUCUUGAAGACAUGAAGAUGCGUCUUAUGUUUUCCAUUCAUCAAGUGGUCUGGAUUCUCUUUGAAUCAGGAAGUAUGUGAAGGUCCAACUUUGGGGUGUUGGAUAUGCUCAUGUGUGACCUCCAAGUGUCAAGAGGAGAGUAGGGUGUCCAUGACAGGGGGAGUUCUGUCUUUGAAGCUGCAAGUAAUUAUCAAGCUUGUGGUCUUUGUGUACUCAGAUAACUAGGUAUGGCACCUUGUCAGUUAUCAGGAUGCUGUGAUGUAUGUCAAGGCUGAGUGAGCAGAAGAAUGUCUGACCGGAUGUCAUGACAUUGCCCUGGACAAUGCUGCUAAUUCCUUCUGAAUCUUAAAAUCAGUAGGAAUUAUGAAGGUGAUGUGUCAAAUUCUGAUAAAUCAGAAUAAGCCUGAUGGCUACAGCUGUGUGGUACAGGGGGAGUAACCAUCUGCUGAAGUGUGGGAAUUUGACUGUAGCAGUGCCAGAUGUCAAGUCUCUACUGGAGGUAUGACAGGAACCUUGGGAAAUGUUGAAUACUGGCAGAAUGCAGGAAAAAGCCGCGUGGAAUGUUAAGACAUCGCGUGCAACGUGUCUGACUGCAUAUAUGGAAUAGUCUCCAUGCACUGGAACUGCUGUUUUGGAAAAGAAACAGUCAAGAGCUAUAAAAGGUAUUCAAAGAUAGUCUGAGAUUUUGUUGGUGAUUCCCUGACUGUUUCUCAGCAAACAUUAAUGAAUCUUGACCAAGCAUUAAUUCCGACCGUUAAUUCCUAAGCACGAGCUGGACUAUUUAAAGGAUGUAUUAGCCCUCUUCUUCUCACAAGAGAAACACUCCAUUCCUUCAGAAUCAAGGGGUAUGUUAAGGUCUGGGCAAGCUGCGCCUGGAUCUGGUUUUGUGAGGGGUGCCUUUACAAAUGUUUAGCUAAAAAGGGGGAGAGAAAUACAGUCCUGGGUAGUAAACAGAAGCAAGCUAACUGUGGUAGUAAACAGAAGUUGGAGUUGGUGUCAAGCACAAAAGUUGGUGUCAAGCACAAAAUCCACCAACUGGGUGUAUCACUUGUGUCUUGUGAUCUGAGUUAAUAGGACAGUUGUGUCUUGUGAUCUAAGUUACAUUAUCUAUGUACUCAGUAUUACAUAUUCUUCCGGAAGCUCUCCGGUUGAGGGGAAAGGUUCUGGUACAACUGAUCCGUGCACCUCUUCUUCCCCAUGUACACCAUCUUUGGUGCUUGUGGUGGUGGAGCCAAUGACAGAGAUGAAGAGCAUUCCCAAAUUGGGAUGUUUUGUCCAGUGUAUUGUUUAUUUGUUUUAACUAAAAUUUGCCAAAGGGGGAGAUUGUUAAUUCCUUAGGAUUGGCAUUAAUUUUGUAAAACAAAUAAUGUAAUCAUCUCUGUUGUUUUAAUAUGUUGGGUUGAAGAAGUUCAACAUCUGGACCAACAUGUCAUGUACGAUGUCACGACAUCAUGCCUGUGACAUCGUACAUGUGUAGAAAACUGAAUUAAUUAAUUCAGUAUUUAUUCUGGGAUUAGUAAGGAUAUUUGGUGAAUAUCCUAACUCCCAUGUGGAGGUCUUGAAGACUCAAUCAGAAGAUAUAUAGGCUCAAAGUAAGGAGAUAUAUAUGGAGAGAUUUUAGGAUUGAAGACCUUGUUUGUAGCAGAAUUUUUCUGCUGAAGUUGUAACAGCAAAGAACAAGUCUGCUGCGAUUUCUGAAGGCCCAAAUCCAGUUGGGUGAUUAGGUUAUAAAUAGCUAAUUGUAACCUAGUUUUUGUAAGCCUCUUAGAAUGAAAAUUUAGGGGUGUGUGUGAGGUAAACCUCCCAAUCUGUGGGAAGGUUACCAUGUGUUUCUCAGUGGUAAAAGCUGAGAGUAUUUGUAACUCAAAGCCUGUAGGCAAGAGUGAUUUUGUUCUUGAAUGAAGCUGUGAAGCAAGUUCAAGGUGUGUUAACAUUACAUUGUAUUUGUAGUGAUAGGAAUGGAAACUGGAGGUUUCUAUCUAGGAGUUCCUAGGUAUAGAUUGCAUUGGGUAGGGAUUAAGUGAAGAGUUGUAAACGGGUGAGUUUAACUCUGAAUUAAUACUGCUAAUAGUGGAUCUUCUUCCUGGCUUGGUAGCCCCCAGAUGUAGGUCAUGUUGGACUGAACUGGGUUAACAAUUUCCUGUGUUUGUUAUCCUUCUGCAUGUGUUUUUUACUGUCAUAACUCAGCAGGUAUUCCAGUCAGCUUAUCAAGCUGAUAACAGACCUGGUAUAUAGCCUUCUGUUUGAAUGUCAAUCAGAAUGUUGUAACAUUCAUCAGUGACAGCGUAUACUGAAUAACAAGCAGGUUUAUUUUAGUUCAGUAUUUAUUUAAGUCUGUUUUAUUCAAGGAUAACAGACCUGGCUGAAGGAUCAGUGUGAAACUGUCAAACUGGAUGUUUUGACAGUUGAUACUGAAGGCUGAUACUGAAGUAGAGACUAGUUGGUCUUUUACAGUACUGUUAACUUAGCACAGUAUGUUUCCAGGAACAUAACAGAAUCAGCAUAUGUUCUGGAUGUCGAACAGAAGGUCAUGACAUUCAUUCCCAAUAGCAGGUGCUAAAGUGUAGGAAGAUUGGUUUUCAGGUUCAGUAUUUUUCUCAGGCUAUUCUUCAGGGAUUCAAUAGUUGAGCUAAAAUCCAGGAAACCAACUACUAACCUACAAUUAAUGAACCUAACAACUAGCGUAGUUGUUAGCAAUCUAAUAAGUGGAAAUUAGAUUAACAUGUUCAACCUUUAAUUCAGGAAAUACAAGUAAAAGACAAACACACAGGAACAAUGUGACAGAUGAUAACUGUGUUAGAAAACAGAGUGCUAGGAUUGAUCACUGUUGAGUCUUUUACCUGAAUGCACAGAACCAGUGUUCAUCCAUUCUAGGGUGACAUAGAAUGAGAUGUCGUGACAUCUGCGAACGUGUGCAUAUAAGUGGUUAAUAACUAUCUUGUGUAUUAGUUACAAUGUUAGAUCAGAUGUCAUGACUUGGAGUAGAACAUCUGAAUUCUGACUAAGCCAGAAUUUCACUUAUACCUAGUGGAAACUAGGGUUUCCUAGCAGCUUGAGGUUGCUCAGUAAACCAAACCCUAAUUGGAGGUAUCUCUUGAUGCAUGUGUAUGUGCUAGACAUUGAAGAUUCAAUUAUGGCUUCUUGAUGAAGAAAAACUCUAGUUUGGGAUUUCCACUUGAUCAUGGUCUCAUAAACCCUAAUUAUGGCUAUCACUCAUUGUGUGUGCACCUAACCCUAAUUUCAUCUGAUUAUUCAUCAUCCAUUGUGUAUGCUUCACUUGUUUGACCAAGAUUCAUUCAAUAACCACUUGUUCGUGGUCUAUUAUGGGGGGUUUCUUUGGUUUGAUUAGCAUUCAUUUCAUGGCCUUACAUGGUCAUCUUUUGCUUGAUGGUAUCUAUUAAGUUCAAGCCCAUGACAUCAGAACUUUCUUUUGAUUUCUUUCAUUCAUGGUAUUUCAUUUGAUAAUUUCCUCAUUCUUAGCCCAUAGCUUGUUCAUGUCUUAUUUGGUUUCAUUUCAUCUGGUCACUCCUAGUGCAUGGUUCAUUUAUGGUUUGUCCAUAUGUCCAUUGGUUCAUGUACGCAAUCUCAUUGUCAAUUGGUCCUUGCUAAGGCCUAAUGUGAUUCAUUUAAGUCUUAUCAUGUUAUCAUUCAUUCAAGGGUUGAUUUCAAGAGGUUUGGAUAUGGUUCAUUCAAGGUCAUUUGUGAUGUCAUUCCUUCCAUUUUCAAUACCAUAGUUUGUUAAUCAAGUCAUUUUCAUUUCAAUACAUCAUUCAUUAUAAACCAAAUUCAAAUCCAUUCAUUAAUACCAAAUACCACAUUCAUUACAAAUCACCAAAUGUCCAUACAUAAAAAAGAUGCACACCACUUUGACCAAAUAUCGACUUUGGUCAACAUAUGACUUUUUUGGUCAACUUUGACCAAAGUCAACCCAUCUAUUUCAUAAAGCCCUAAACUUCAUGUCCAUUCAUGGCAAUUAUGUGUGGCAAAAAAAGGGAAAUUUUUGAUUAAAUUUUGAAUCAAAGAUCAAAUGGAGUAAGUGUUUAUUGCAUGAGUCAUGGUUUUCCCAUUUUUCAAAUGAUUGUAUCAUGUGUAUUGGUGGCUUUCAAAUCAAGUCAUUUUGUUCAAGUUUCUUGAAACGCGGAUGUCCUAUACCAGUUACAUCACGGAGCGGACAUCUCAUUCAACAUAAAAGUCGAGACUUGGUUGAAUCAUUUUAUGGAAAGGAGCAGAAUUCGAGAUAUUGAACAACAUUGGAAAAAGAAUCUAAUGCAAAAAUUACAGGGGUACCACCUACAGAUUUAGCCAGCGACAUAAGUUUUGAUUCGUUUUAAUUUCUUAUUUAACUGGACAAUAAUUGUAUGUAAUUGUGUCUCAAUAUAAAUAAGUGUUAUAUAUUCACCUUUUGUUCAUAUUUGUCUUAUGUUUUUUCUUUCCUCCAUGACAACAUUUGUUUUUGUCAAUGAAAAAACAGUUAUGUUUUAAUGUUCUGUUUUGAAUUGGUUCAGGACAAAUUCCAGAGAUGCAUCUCUGAACAAAGAUAAUAGGGUACGGUUCCGAGAUAUAUCUCUGGGAAUCAACAUAGUCAGUUAAUAGUGGCCAUAUUGAUCUUGGCUCUUCUUAUAUAUCUAGGUGCUCUUAUGUUAUAUUUCACAAAACUGGAAAAUGUCUAAAUCGUCACAAAUAACACGUCCAUUGCUAUGUACACGAAUGUCUCCUUCUCCGACUUUACACCCAAUGAGAAAUAUUUAAUAAUUUUUAAUAAAUAACAUUAUGAUUAAAAAAAACAUAUAAUAACCUAUAACAAUCAAUACGAUAUAAACCAUAUAUCUAAUUUCUAAAGUAAAACAAUGAAGAUGUUACAAAAAUAACUAUUGUCCAUACUAUUUGUUUUUAUAAACAUGUUAUUGCUUGUAGUAAACAUGUUAAUACUAAUAUAUAGCACUACUCCCUGUCGUGUGUGCUGGGGGGCGGGGGAGCGGGGCGGGCGGGUGGGGGGGGGGGGGAAGGCGGUGUGUGUGUUGGCUGUGUGUGUGGCGUGUGUGUGUGCUGUGUGUGUGUGUGUGGUGUGUGCGCGUGCGUGUGUGUGUGCGUGCGUGCGUGUGUGUGGUGUGUGUGCGUGCGUGUGCGCGGCGAGUGUGUGUGUGUGUGGGUGCGUGCGCGACGUGCGUGCGUGAGUGCGCGCGUGCGUGAGUGCGUGAGUGCGUGCGUGGUGUGUGUGUGUGUGUCGUGCGUUCGUGGUCGUGUGUGUGCGUGCGGGCGUGCGUGCGGUGUGCGUGUGUGUGUGGGUGUGUUGUGUGUGUGUGUUGUUUGUGUGUGUGUGGUGUGUGUGCGGUGUGUGUGCGUGUGUGUGUGGGGGUGUGGUGUGGGUGUGUGUGCGUGUGAGUGUGUGUGUUGUGUGCAUGCGUGUUUGCGUGCGUGCGUGCGUGCGUGUGUGUGUAUGUGUGUGUGUGUGUGUGCGUGCGUGCAUGCGUAUGCGUGUGUGUGUGUGUGUGUGUGUUGUGUGUGCGUGCGUAGGCGUGCGUGUGCGUGAGUGCGUCGUGCGUGCGUGCGUGCGUGCGUGUGUGUGUUGUGUGUGUGUGUGGUGUGUUGGUGUGCGUGCGUGCAUGCCGUGUGCGUGGGUGCGUGUGGUGCGAAGGGGUGCGUCGCGUGGGUGCGUUGCGUGCGGUGUGUGUGUGUGUGUGUGCGGUGCGUGCGUGCGUGCGUGGGUGGCGUGCGGGGUGUGUGUGGUGUUGACGGAUCACGUUGAUACUUGAUCUAUUAACAUGUUUAUACUUAAAUAUAAUCUUAAUAGUUCUUGCCAACUAUUAUUUAUAUUCAACAUACAUCAGAUGGAUCACGUUGAUACUUGAUCUAUUAAAAUAAAAUAGAUAACCAUGUUUAUAAUAUUUAUUGUUUAUUGUCUUGAAAUAUAAUAUUACAUAGAUUUUAUUUAAGUAUUUGAAAUAGAUAAACCAUGUUCACCUAAUACUUAUUCAUCCGUUUAAAAUAGAUAUCACUAUAGGUAUAACAUCUACAGAAACCACUGACACACUUGCUUAUUGUAUGUUCAGUGCAUCUACAUUGGUGAUCGUUUGUACAAGCCCUACCUAUAAUAAAAAAAUUAUUUAUAUUGUUAAAAUGAGAUAAAAUAUUUUCUUUACAAAGGAAUAAGAAAUAAAAAGUUAAAAUGAAAUUUGAAGAAUAAAAUGGCUCACCAUCAACAUUUGAUGCAACAAAAAAGAAAAAAAGGAAUAUAAACACAACGUACAACUUGAGAAUUGAAGCCAUUUCUUUUUCUCUUUUUUAUGAGAUAGAUAAAAUAAUAUUUGAUCAAUUUAUAGUGUAUAAACUCGAACAUCCCAUAUAAAAAAAUAAUAAAAUUAAUGUCGCUUAGGUGACUAAAUUGGUUGUAUUGUUCUUUGAUCAGACUUAAUAAAUUUGUCACAUAAAAUACUAUCUAAUAAUAAUAAGUCAUUAUUUUUAUCCAACUUAUAAUUUUUUUAAGCUUUCAUGAUAAGAAAGAGACAACAAUUUGUUAGACCACAUGAAAAUUGAUCCAAAAAAUUUAGAAAUGGUAGCUAAAUUUGUCUCUAAUUAGAUAAAAAUGAUUAAUAUGAUAUAUUUUGUAGUGAUAAAAGGUUAAUAUAAACCUUUUUUAAGUUAAAAGAUCAAAAUCAACUCCAAAGUUAACAAUCAGGAUAAAAGUGUAAUAAACCUUUUUUUAAACUUUCAUGAUAGGAAAGGGACAAUAAUUUGUUAGACCACAAAAAUUUCAUAUGCAGGAAUAAUUAGGACCAGUCUGGUAAAAUAACAAAAUCUAAUUCUUAGCACAAAGCCUCUCAAACUUGAUGCCCACCAUGUAAAACACCUUAGAGUUUCCUAUUAAAAGUGAUUUUAAGUUGAAUGGAGUGUUUGCAAAAUAUUUUGAAUCGUAUCAUAAUUUUCUCUGUUUCAUGUAAUAUUGACUACAAACUGUUGGGUGAGAAUACAUGGGUGCAAUAAUGAAUAGGGUGUGAUUAGACCUCCCAAAUAAAAUAUACUGAUUUGAAAAAUAAUUUUGAAAUUUUUUUAUAGUUUGAAAAUAAAAAUAAAUUAUGUGGUGGAAACAAUGUGCAUAUAAAAUGAUUAUGCUUAUCAAAUGGUAUGUACAUGAGACACCUCAAUCAAUAUACAAUACGAUAAAAUAUCGAAUCAAAAAGCUAGCCAAAAAAUUACCAAAAAGAGUAUUGAUUUAAUAUCAAAUUUAUACAAGACGUGUAAAUAUACCAAAUCAAUACAACAAAGAAUUUUACGACUACACUUUCAAGACUUUAUCAAUAACAAGAUAAUUUGAAGUGUGGAUUCUAAUAGAACCUACACUUCAUUGAUAAAUCACUCUCAAGGAAAAAAAACUAACCUCAUACAGUUAUACGAAAGUGGUAAAAACGACCUAAACAUACAAUUUUGCAAAAAUUGUGUGUGUGUGUGUGUGUGCGUGUGUGUUAUGUGUGUGUGUGUGCGCGUGUAUUGUGUGUGUGUGUGUGUGUGUGUGUGUGUGUGCGUGUACGUGUGCGUGUGCGUGUGCGUGCGUGUGUGCGUGUGUGUGUGUGCGUGUGCGUGCGUGUGUGUGUGUAGGUGAAUGAUGGAUGCAAUAUACAUGCUAAGAUUUGUUCGCAUGUGUGAAGGGAUGAAAUUCCCGUGACUUGAAGAAUUGGCAAAAGGCGUGAAGUAAUCGUGACUUAAUUUGAAUUGGGAGGAGCAUGGAGAACUCAUGAUAAUGAGUGUGAAGGAAAGAAUCUGACUUGUAAUCUUUGGUUUUUCUUUUGAUGUAAUUGGAUAUUAGUGAGCUUUUUUGGGAAUUAGUUUGGAUUGUAGUGUUGUUUGAAAUGUGAACAGCAUCACAAUCACAUCAGAGGAGGAGGAGAAUACACAGACAAGUCACAACACACAUUUUUCUUAGUUUUUAAUUUUAUUUGCUCAAAAGUUUAAGAGGUAUUCAAGUUAUGAAUCACCUCUGAAUUGUUCUUGAGCUAAAUCAAAUAACAAACAUGUUACCUUCGAAUCCAGCAAGAGAAAAAGAAAGAUAGAGCAUAAAGAAGUAAUAGAGGAAGAAAGAAAAAAAGGUUUAAAGCUUACCUAAAAUGGGAUCGAAGCAGCCUUUUCCUAAUCUGGGUAGAUCUUUGCAUUUUUGUUUGCUCUUUGUUCAUUUCAGACUCAUGUAGCCUUCAAUCCAUUUUCCUCUUUGUUGUUUGCCCUUGUAAUUUGUAAACGAAAAAAAAAACAUCAAUGAGUUGGGGAUAUUGGGCUUGAAAGGGGUUAAGGGUUAUUUUCUCAUGUUUGAUUUCAUAUGCUUUAAUGAUUGCAUGAUCGAUGAUGAUUCUUGUGGAUUCUAUAUCUAGGUUUAGUAUUUAAUUGUUGAAACUGGAUCUUGCGUGAGUGAUAGUUGUUCUUGGUGUGGAAAGAUUGUUAUUAUUCAUUUGUGUUUUUUGAUUUAGUGCGAAGAAGCUUCAUCCAUGGAGUUUUUUGGUAAUGUGAGAGAGAUGAGAGAAUUGAAGAAGAGGGACAUACUUAAGAAAUAUGGGAGAAAGGUUGGUAUGGUUAAUAAGAGAGAGAGAGAGAGAAGUGCGAAGAAGCUUCAUCCAUGGAGUUUUUUGGUAAUGUGAGAGAGAUGAGAGAAUUGAAGAAGAGGGACAUACUUAAGAAAUAUGGGAGAAAGGUUGGUAUGGUUAAUAAGAGAGAGAGAGAGAGAGUGUAAUUUUCACUUGAUUUUUUUAAUAUUUGAUUUCUUUUUAAUGUUUAUUGUUUCCAAUAAUUAGUAAUAAAUGUGAUUAAUGGGUUAAUAGGGGGCAAGUGGCGGCCGAGUAUACUUAGUUUUCUAGUUUUUUUUAGAGAAUUUCUUAAAGCAUCCUAGAUCUUUCUACUGCAUAACGUGAAUUUCCAAAAAUGUUCCCCAUUUUUGGAGAUACAUCUCCGGACGCACCUUUUGCACACUCAAGUAAAGCCAUUAUGAGAGGUGCCUUAUAUGUUGGAUAAUAUUUAUCCUAGAGAUGCAUAUCUGGAAUCUUUUAAGAAAGACCUUAAUUAUUUAACAGUUCAGUAGAUAUUCCGGAGAUGCAUCUCUGGAAUUAUAAGCAACAUUUUGAAAUUUACAUCACCUUUACAUGUCAGAUAUUUCCAGAGAUGCAUCUCCACGGUCCAGCACCGGAGGCAAAUUGGAUGCGCUUCCCUGAAAUGAGUCACCUAAUAGCAUGUGCGUAUGAUAGAGUGUGUAUUGACCUGACACGCUACGGUUUUUCAGAAACCUUUUUCCCACUGCGCAUCGCCCCACCCCCAAAAUCAAAAUGAUUGUAUCAUAUGUAUUGGAUGGCUUUCAAAAUCAAGUCAUUCUGUUCAAAUUUACUUGAAAUCAGGAUGUCAUAUACCAAUUACAUCACCGAAGUGGAUGACUCAUUCACCCAUAAAAGUCGAGACUUUGCCGAAUCAUUUUAUGGAAAGGAUGAAAGAAUUCGAGAGAUUGAACAACAUUGAAAAAGAAUCAAAUGUACAAAAUUCCAAGGGGGUACCACCUAUAGAUUUAGCCGGUGACAUAUGUUUCGAUUCGUUUUAAUUUCUUGUUUAAUCGGACAAAUAAUUGUAUGUAAUUGUGUCUCAAUAUAAAUGAAGUGUUAUAUAUUCACCUUUUGUUCAUAUUUUGUCUUUAUGCAUUUUUUAUCUUUCCCAUGACAACACUUGUGCUUUUGUCAAUGAAAAAAUAAGUUUUGUUUUAAUGUUCUGUUUUGAAACUGAUUCAGGACAAGUUAUUGAGAUGCAUCUCCGAAACAAGAUUAGAGGAUGCGGUUCCAGAGAUAUAUCUCUGGAAUCAAUAUGUCAGUUAAUGAGUGGUCCAUAUUGAUCUUUGCCUUCUAUAAAUAUAGGUGCUCUUAUGUUAUAUUUCACACAAACUGAAAAAUGUCUAAAAUGUCACAAAUAAACAUCCAUUGUAUGUUACAGAUGUCUCCUUCUCCGACUUUACACUCGAGUGAACGUUUAAGCUCACCAAUUCCACUUCCCUCGAAGAUAUCAAAGAUGAAAUCCACUAUCUCCUACCUUACAGAGACAAACAAAGGAUUGUGAAGCUCGAAUACCGUUCACCAUCGAUUGACAAUGAAGGGAAGAUUGAGCUCAAUAAAUUUAAGCUCAAGACGCAAGCGAAUGUUAGGGCUAUGUGGGAUACGUAUUUUUGUUUCAAAACAAAAAUUCCGCUCAAGUUGGAAGCGAUGCUACAAAGAUCGGUCGAAGAUAUUCUGAAGAUGUACAAGCGUCUACCAAGAUAUUGAAAUGUAAUAUUGUAGUUUAUGUUGAAAUCAUCUUUGUAAUGCUUAUUUUAUGUUAUGAAUGUCAAUUUCAUUUUGAAAAAUUAUUUUUCUAUUGAUUCUGAUAUUGGUGUGUCUCUCCGGAAAUGUAACUCUGGAAUAAAGUAAACAAAAAAAAGGCGUAACUCAUAAUGACCUUUAUUCAGUGUGUGUUAGAGUACAUUUUGAAAAAUUAUUUUUCUAUUGAUUCUGAUAUUGGUGUGUCUCUCCGGAAAUGUAACUCUGGAAUAAAGUAAACAAAAAAAAGGCGUAACUCAUAAUGACCUUUAUUCAGUGUGUGUUAGAGUACUUCCGAAGAUACAUCUCCAAAAUCAGAGGACAUUUGUAAAAAUUCACAUAGUGCAUUAGAAACAUCUAUGGUGCCAAAAAAAAAUCUCUUUUAUAAUAUCAAAUUCUCUCUUCUCAUUUCCAGGGGGUGAGUGGCCCUAACGUUAAUCUGAUGAAAAACAAAGAAAAAAAACACAAAAACAGCGUUGGGCAUAAGCUAUUGGCCCUACGCCAAAACCACUAGCCAUCUCCCUUUAUUCAAGUCUUGCACCCUCCUUAUUUUAUUGAGAUUAAUUAUUAUGCAUUGUUAGUGUAAAAAGUUUUACACUAUCGAUUCAUCACUAUCACCCGUUUACAUUACUUUAUAGAUUUUUAAAAUAAAAGUCAAACUUGUUUCAUUAUCCAACGAUUAUGAUUAACUGACGGUGUAAGAUCCUUUUACACUGUCAGUGUAUUUCAAUUAAAUCCUAUUUUAUUUGUUUAUUUUUUUAACUUUACUUUUUUAUUUAUCAUUUUAGUUUAGUAUUUUAGAUAAUCAAAACUAAAAAAAAAGUACAAUGAUGCUUCCGUUUUCAUUAUUCAAAUAAAUUUCAAAAAAUAUGUAUAAUAGUAGUAUUUUUCGUUGUCAAAAUUAAUUCCAAAAUCUUUCCACGAUAAAACUUUCUCAGCCAACAAUUAUACUAGUCCAUAAUCUUUCCAACAACUUUACGUAAGACAGAUCUCCACGAAAACUCCAUGAAGGAUGUGUCUUGGCGUCUCCAUACUUCUGCAUAUACGGAUAACAAUGACAGAGUGUGUAUCAAGGCGAUUUUCGUUGCAUCUCAAGGCUGCCACGAGGCAUACCUAACGAAACAUCUCUAUGAGGAGCGUCGUUCAUGUCUCCGUAUUCAAUUCACUCCUUGGAAGCAUAGUAUAUGUAUGUCUCCACUGAGCAUUAGUGAAGUGCACAAGGUGAUAAACGAAAUGCCCAAAGGAAAAUCAGAGGUUGCAGAGACAGUGAUAUUUGGGUCUGAGUCUCAAAAUUAGUGUCCUACAAACGCGACUCGGAAAUGUGUCAAUUUUGUGGAUCUAAUCAACCAUCUGGACAUAACAGAAUUAUCCAUCAUGUACUAUAUUGCUUGCCACCGCUUUCUGCUGACAAAUCUGCAUGACAUUUUGAAGAGGUAAGUGGUAUGAAAAGGCUUCAUGGUUCUUGGUAGUUUUGUAUGGUUCUUCGAGAGCAGUUAUAUGAAAAGCAGUUUGUCAUCGGAUAAAAGGCUUUUAACUUUUGACCCUGUGUCAUCCAAGAUAUUAAGGCAUUCUAUAUGAGACAAAAUGAUGAUGGAAAGACAGUUGCAGCCAUGGGCGUGUUGGUUCCGAAGGUAGUUAUAAGAUAUAUCUAAUAUAUAACUACUACUGAGUAAUGUUUGCAGGCAACAAAUUCUCAGUACUAUCCAAAAAAGUAGAAACUUGGGUUUGAAGGUACUUCAAAAAAGAAAACAUAUUUUUUGUCUGAUUAAUGUUAUUAAGCUGAGCUCUGGUUGUUUGUUUAGUGAAAUAACAAAGGAGUUAUUCCAAGGUAUAUAUUACAGUUUAAUGAUUAUGGGAUGGUGAAGCCUCUGUGAUUAUAUAAAGAUAGACAGUAGUAGUAUGCUUUUGUUUUUGGACUAGCAGAACUAUAUGCUCGUUGUUAUGAUUUAGUUUCACUCUCUUCUGGUUAGAUUGGUGAACUUAUUGGUGGAAGCCAAAGAGAAGAGCAACUUGAGCAUUUAAAAGCUCGUUUAGAUUUUUUAAAGUUGAAUAAGGAUGCAUAUUGAUGGUAUCUUGAUUUGCUUCAAUAUGGACCAGUUCCUCAUGCUGGUUCUGAUUUGGAUUUUGAAAGACUUGUCCAGUUUGCAACGGGAAUGGAUGAUAUAAGAGACGUUAUUCCUUUUCCUAAAACAUCUGGCACGGCCGAGUUCUAAUCUUUUAGACCCCAACAAAAUUGAUGUGUGACUUUCUCUCUGCUGGUUUUUCUAUGUGAUUUUGCAGGUUUGCAGGCAUUUGUCGUCGACUUUACGAUGCGUCUGCACUAGGGUUGCGCAGGAUGCAGGAAUAGGUGGUUGGUUGUUGGUGCGUACUGCAGCUCUUUGCAGUUUGGAUUUGCAUAUCCCAUGUUUAGUGCAUAGUGCUGAUAUCAACUCAACAGUUUCUCAGUAAUUUCUUGGACAGCCUUAUUUUUCUGUUGUGGAGUAGAAGUACUUGAUUAACUUAUGUUGUAGUUAUAAUUCUUAUGUUUUGUAAGAGAGUAUAGUUUGGUAGAUUGGAAUAUGUUGUGGAUAAAGACAUAUCCGACUAGAUUAUGCUUCCGGGUUGGGAUGCUUGAUUGCUUUGGUUUAAAUACAUCACCACACAUAUACCGGCAUCGAGCCGAACAGCUGUAGCCAUCAUCAACACUGUCGAGUGCAAUCCGCCGAGGCAUUAAAGUAUGGUUUACAAAUCCUAAGAGUUUGAAUUUUAUUCAUAUAGCUCUGAACCGAAAGAUUGUGCAGGUGAGUUACCCUCUAGUUGGUUUUACAGUUUCGGUUCACUUUCCCAUGCAGCAUGUGAAGCGCCAUUGGUGCUUCCAUUGGGAGGUUUCACUUAUGGAGAAAAAUGUCUAUUCCUAGUUAAUGAUUGGCAUGCCAGCUUAGUUCCAGUACUUUUGGCAGCCAAGUAUAGCCCGUAUGGGGUAUAUUAGGAUGCACGUAGUAUAGUAGUGAUUCACAAUAUUGCACACCAGGGGUGAAACCUGCAAUUACAUAUAGCAAUUUGGGGCUGCCUUAUGAAUGGUAUGGAGCCCCCCGGAGUGGGUGUUCCCUACAUGGAUGAGGAUGCAUGCUCUUGACACAGGCGAAGCUGUCAAUUUUCUAAAAGGCACCAUUGUUACGGCUGAUCAGAUAGUAACAGUAAACAAGCUUUUGUUACAGCAUCUUUGUAUACAGCAUGAGAACUUUAAAUCAAGACCUGAAGUGGGUGCCAGCGGGAUGUCUCUUUGACAUUGGCACUUGUUGAAUUUGUGUACCAUCUCAAUUGCAUCUUUUUAUAUUGUUGGCUAAUAAUUGCCAGCUUGUGUUAAUUGUUGUUAGCAGUCCAAAUCUUGCUGCUAAAAGGAAACUUUCAAGGAUUAUAGCAAUCUCGUUACACAUGUUUUAGGUGAGUCAAAAUGUUCAGAUCCCAUUCUCCACUAUAAUGAUAGUGCACUUAGCGUCAUGAGAACUCAUCAUGAUCAUGCAAAGAUAAAUCCCAUCAAGUGCAUUAAUAAACAAGCUUGGUUAUAGAUGUAACGAUUCAACCAUAGCACAACCGAGUCACACCUAUCACCUGUGAACAACAUGUAAUUAAUUUGGAUAAUUGUCAGCUUGUGGUAAUUGUUGGCUUAUGAUCCUUUCAAGAUGGAUAGUUUUCUUUCAUCGAGAUGUCGCUUUCAUACCCCUUCAUGUAUUUUCUUAAAGAAUCCAUUGUCGUAAUUGUCUGCAAACCAUUACAUAUUAUGUAAAGAGAUAAAAGGCAACAAGUCGUGUCGUUGCAUACUAAAUAUGUCAAAUUGAAACAAGAGUAGCAAACUACAACACAAUAAAAUUAGGGGUUGGACAAAUACAAGGAUAUAUUUUAAAUUAAUUAUCUUUAUUGUCGAAAAAGGCGAGCUAUAUUUCUAUGUCAUUCGUAACUAAUUUAGAACUUAUAUUAAGUAAAUAAGUGUUGUUCCUUUCUUCUACGAGGACAAGAGACAUCUUCUCUUUUCUAAACUCUUAAAAUUAUGCAGGAUAAUUGUCGAAACAAAGACCGGAGAGAGACUUACCCUCUAAUAAAAGUAGGGACUGAGAACGACGAAGACCUCCUCAAGAGACAGAUCGGGUCACGUUAAAUAAAUCUCUGACCUUAAGCAAUCGGCCACAUAAAUGCCAAACCUCUGGUCGGAUCGGGUGAAAUAAAGGGUUUGACCUCCAUUUGACGUCAACCCUUAUGGGGCUCUGAACAUCGGUCAUGUAAAAUAAAUAUCCUGAUCUCCAUUUGACGUCAACCCCCAUGGGACUCUAAACGUCGGUCAUGCAAAAUAAAGUCGCUGACCUCCAUUUAACGUCAACUUUUGUGGGACUUUGAACGUCGGUCAUGCAAAAUAAAGCCUUAGACCUCAUUUUGACGUCAACUCCUAGGGAGCUCUGAACGUCGGUCAUGCCACAGAGCCUCUGACCAAUACCACGUCAACGGUUAUUGACACUAUGAAAUUGGCUAAGUAGAAGCAAACCUUUGGCCGAAUCAAAAGUUCGUGUUAAUAAAAAACUUUGGCAUCUCGAUCAAGUUGACAUACCUUUGUCCUUAAGUAGUUUGAUUAAAUUUAUCACUGACCAAAUAUUCGACAUGAUCUACCUGGGGUUAAGCCGAUUCUUGUUCAAAAUUAAUAAGAUCUCUCAAAUCAUUAAGGCUCGAUUUGUUGGGGCUUUAAACCUAUACGGUAUAAACUUCAGCUAAAAGAUAAGUUGACUCGUUUGAAGCCGACCAUUUUAUCUGAUUUCCAUUCGAACACAUCAGUUAUUACCAAAGAGAUAAAAUACAUUAGGGUUACCUAACAAAUUCAAAAGGACUAACACAUUAUUCUCAGAGGACCAGGAAAGCGUCAAAACAUUACAUAAUGCACCCGCAAAGGAUAAUUCAAUAAUUACGAACCAAUGUUCUGAUGAGAGAUCUCUGAUUUUAAUCACACCAAAGAUUCUCGGGUAUUUGACCCCAACUCACAUGGGUCAUGUAAAGAAUGAAGCAAGACAUACUUGGAAUUCGCCAACAUCUUAUCUAUCAGGAUUUAGUUACUUAUAAUAUUUGAAAACCCACGUAGGAUAUCACAAUUCUAAUAAUAGGGACAAGCUUUAGCUUAAUUAAAACGAGACGCUAAUAAGUCGAGAUCCAACUAAGGCUUCCCGACUUCUCUAUGUCUAGAACCUACCGAGUUUUAUGACACCAAUAGAUCGAGAUCCCACUAGGGCUCUCUAACUUCUCUAUGUCUAGAACCUAGUGAAUUUUAUGACACCAAUAGGUCGAGAUCCUACUGGGACUCUCUAACUUCUCUAGGUCUAGAACCUUCCGAGUUCUACGACAUCAAUGGGUCGAGAUCCCACUCGGGCUCUCUGAAUUUUCUUUGUAUAUAACCUACCGAGUUCUGCAACGACAAUGGGUCGAGAUCCCACUAGGGCUCUCCAACUUCUAUAUGCCUAUAAACUACCAAGUUUUACGACAACAACGGGUCGAUAUCCCAUUGGGGCUCUCCGACUCCUAUAUGUCUAGAAACGGUUUGGAAACCAUGUCGAACUAGAGUUAUGAUUGGAUUCCCCAUAAAAUCAGACCAGAUGGAAGUAUAACCCAUUCAAGAAGAAAGAAUUUCAAGAUUCUUUGUCUGAAUAUUCAUCUCAUUGUGAUUCAUGAUCGAGAGGCUUAUGUACAUCCUGAAAUUCUUAAAGUCGAGUAUGUUUCUCGGAUUUUGAUAAGGCUGAAGAAUUAUUAUGAGGUCGGGCAGCGAGUUCCAUAUUCAUCCCAGACUCAAUUGACUGGGCUCUGAAGGAACGAGUCAAGUCAUAAUCGUUGUAACAUUCCUGGAAGGUCGAAGACCGUUACAGAAUGAUUGAUAAUUUGUUACAUAUCACUAAUAGCUACUAAACCCAUUAAAACUACGUCCAUUUAAUAUUCAAGAGGGAGAGCAAGGUUUGCAUAUAAAUAGGUCUUGAGACCAAACAAAUAAGGAGACAUUUGAUCAAUGAAUAACAUUAGAAAGAGAGAAAAUACGCGAGAACCUUGGAUUACCAACAAUGGUGGCCAAGAUUCCUCCCUAACCUGCCUCAUGCCAGACAGGACGAUUGUGAUCCCACCUGACCAGCUUCAGGGGGAUUUCUCCAAAUGAUAUUUAUCAAAAAUAUAAAUAAUAAAAAAACAAACAAAAAUAUCAUAAUAUUGACCAUACAACUAAUAUUCUAACUUACAAAAACUAAAUAAUAAAAUACAAAGUUAUAUGAACAAGGUGAGUUUUGGGGUACUAGUGCCCCCAUUUCUUAGUCAAUCCCUAAAUUUUGUAAUCAAAGAAUAUUUGAACCUAAAUCCAAUUAAAACGAUUUUUCUAUAUUAAAUUUGGAGUGAAUUCAAAUGAGUAUUUAUUAGUUCGAUUUUUGUUGCUAUGAAUAUAGCCUUGAGAACAAGAACUUAAAUAGAGGGGUUGCGAAAAUUGGGAAAUGCUCAUUCCAUCCUAUGGGGUGCGUCCAACACAUAUGUAAACCCAAAAAUGCCAUUAUUUGUGUUCGAAGGUGCAUCUCUAGAUGCACCUAAAAUCACAUAAACUUUCGUAAUAUCUGAUAGCCACCCAUUUUGAGCAAAAUAUGAUCCGGAGAUUUGUAUAUUAUUUGGGGUGUAUUCGGAGAUACAUGUCCGAAAACCCCUAUGAAUAGUUUCAAGACAGUAACAUUGUCCCAAAAUUUAUAUUUUUUAAGGUCAACUUAUGUUUUAGGCCAUGAGUUAAAAUACAUAUACAUUAAUCGAUUCAAACAUGCUACACAUACAUUAAAAAAGUCACACAUUAAUUAAAGUAUAACCAAAAUGUAAGGAUCAUACAUAACUUGUUCCGAAAAUACAAAAAAUAUUAAAAUCAAACAUAUACUACUGAGAAUGUAUAACCCUUAACUUCUCUGUUUGUACUGUAAGGCAUUUCAAGUCUCGACAAUAACACCUUCUAAGAGGGCCAACUAGAGAUUGCCUUCCUCAAAAAGUCCAACCCAUAUGCAUGAUCUCUUCAUAUCCACAACAUGCUGGCAAACAUUGCUUACGUCCUGGGUGUGGUUAUUCGUAACCUUAAGCACCCCUUGAUUAAAUGGCGUAAGCGGCUUUCUAGAAGCGUCUGAUGUCAUAAUAGGGUGUGAUGCCAUAUAGAACCAUGUCUUGUAGGCGUAUGCACAAGUCCAAUGUACACGAGCUGACAUCCUAUAAUACUUCUCUGGUACCAAAUGACUCUAGAAAUCCUCAAGCAUCACAUCAAGAUCUCUGCGAUGGACGAUGGGAGAAGCGGACUUUGAGGGGUAUCUCAAAGUAAUAUGGAAAUAUCCAAACUGACACAUCACUCACUUGGGAAGAUACAUAUACAUCAGGCAUAACCCAUGUGCUAGCCAACAGGAGUAUAAUGAAUUGAGGUUUAGCUGACGCAUUUAACGGUGACCUUCAUAUGGGUAAAAGACAAUGUCAUAUGCUAUAAUGUAAUCAAGAUACACUCGGAAGGGCUCGAUCUCCUAAUUCCAUAUACACGGGGAAAAUGCAGCAACACGUGACUAAUCCUCAUCGUAGUUAGGCACAUGUUUCCACCCGAAAGUGCGAGGAAAGUGAGAGAUGAUCCAUCCUUAAAAAAGGGUUACGAUAAAUAUUAGUAACAAGUGUAACAAAAGAGAUAAAAAUAUCAGUAACAAUAAAUUACCGUAAGCAGCGUAUAACUUCCUGUCAUUUGCUUUGUCUUACAAAGAUAACCCUCGUAAAUCGCCGUCAAGUCGAUGAAGUAUUUAAGGCAUACCACAUCGACGUAGGUUGCACUUUUGCACACAAGUAUGGACGUGUCAAUCAGGUACAAGAGCUAACACCUUAAUUCACACUAUCGGUGAUACUUAACCUACAUAUCAUCACCGUCGGCAUCCACAACCAUCUGCAGGUGGUCUUUAUAAAGUUUCUUCUAAUAAAUUAAAUAUAGCAUGAGCACCUCUAGUGCCAUCUACCUCAUUUGCAGCCUUAGUUGAGUCAACCCCCAAAUAUGUAAUCAACAUCUCGUUGUCUUCCUCUCGAUUGAGUCAUCAGUGGUCCAAUAAUUUUCCCAUAAUGGGAAGAUACAAGAGGCACGAGACAUCAUCUAGGGUGAUGGUCAUCUUUCAAAAAAGAAUGUGGAAAUAUGAAGUCUCUGAAUUCCAUCUUCCUGCAAAUUUCGCAUGCAUGUAAUGGUUUAUGGUAGUGUAUGCAACAACAUAUAAAUCAACAAAAUCAAAGUAGCAGAUACCAUUUUUGAACCAGUCAGUGUCAGGCUAUUCCAAAUCCACAAUAUUUCUUAUGUGGUUUAUAGAUUUUAAACAUAGAUACUCAUAUAAAAAAACACCAUCAAUCACAAUUAAAUUUGUUUAAAACAGAUGUAAUGGAAAUGUAAAUAAACAUACAUCUCCUUCCCAUACAUGUCUUGAAAUAGGGUAUCUAUGGAUAUGAAGCAAAAAUGUGUCAAAUGGGCCUCACAAAUAACUAUAUACAUGGGCAUUAAUAAUAGGUUCCUCUUGGGCUUCAGGUGCUUCAUCAACUAGGGAUAUGUGACCCCGUGAGGUAGAUAUCUGAGAUAGGCGACUAAGGGAAGUAAAACCAGAGCCAUCAAACAAGGUAUCAUCGACUCGUGAUCUCAUAGCUCUUCCCCGUCCCUCUCACGUUGUACAAACACAUGUUAGGACACAUGGUUAAGCCUAAUUCCGUUCAGGUUGUUUUCAGUCACUGCACUUGUAAUAAAAUCAGAAAGUCACAUCAAAAUUCAACCAAGAUGUAGUCAGACAUAAAUUCAAAGAUACAUCUCCAAAAGCAUCUUAGACAUAAUCCGAGAAUGCAUCUCCGAAUGAACUCAAGAUUCAUUGAUGGCUUAACAUCCAACCAAAUGAAAAUAAAUGCCUAUAUCAACUACCUAUUUCAAUUGUACUACUAUCUAAUGUAACUUAAACAACCUAUGUUACUUAAAACAUCAUUCAAAAUACAAAAAUAGAAUGAAAUAAUAUACUUACCAAAUUAGAGUUGUGGAUGAAAAGCUUGAAUGAAGUGAGUGAUAAUGGAGUGAAAUGCAGCAAAUGAAGUAGAAUGAAGCUUGAUGAAACUUGUUCAAAUAUGGUUUGGAAAUAGUUUGCAACAAGAGAGCUUACAUAUAGUUCUUUAAGUGACUUUUCAAAAAAUGAAAGAGGAAGAAGGAACAAUUUGACGCAGGUUUAUGAAUAAAACUCGCCUGAAGAUGCAUAUCCGUAAAACUCUCUAAAUUUUGAAUUAAAGGUGUUUACGAAGAUGCAUAUUCAGAUUCAUCCUUAUGUUAUACAGAAAUAUAUAUCCGAUUUAAAUGUUAGCAAAAUAAAGGCGAUUCAUCUAUUUACACUGAAGGGUGUAUAAAAAAAUGCGUCUAAAGAUGCAACUUGAGAUAAUAGGGACAAUUUUGACUUUUCACCGUGAUAGAAAGCACCCAUGAAAUCUUUAAAAAAUUUUCAACAACAUUUCUUUUUCUAAAUCCAAAAUUAAAGUGGGCCUGAAGCCCAUUAAGAAAAAUGACUGCAAAAUCGACCAAACCCACAAAUAAUUUCCUCCUCUGUAGAAUCCCUUCAUUUCGCCUCCUCUUCAAAUUCUCACUACUUCCCCCGUUCCUCUCAUUUCCCUACACUCUCUUUCUCUCCCAUUCACUAUUUCUGACCAGCUCUCCGAUUAGGGCAUCGUCGAUAUGCCCCUCUUCAUCACCGACGAAGACUUCUCUCGGUUAUCCGGCGACACAACCGCCGUAGCCGCAAAAGCUGACACCUUCAUCCGCGGCCUCCUCAACGAACUCGACACCGUCCGUGCUAAGGCUGAUGCCUCAGACAUCAAUGCUGAACAGAAUUGCUCCCUCGUUGAGCAGAAGUAUCUCUCCCUCUCUGCCGAGUUCUCCAAGCUCGAAUCCCAUGCUUCUAACCUCCAAUCUUCCCUUGAUCAACACCUCCGCGACCUCUCUGAUGCCCAAGCGCAAAAUCACCAAUUUCACUUGCAAUUGGUGCGUUUUGGAAACGUUUCGAAAUUGAAAUGAAACAAUUCCUCUUGUUGCUAGUUAUUACCGUUGAGGAAGCAUUGCACUUGGAAAUUGUAGUUAAUCUUGUCAUAAUUGCAGUUAUCACUGUGCUGUUUUGACUAGUUUCUAGUUUUUCGAGCUUCUAUAUUAAAAUGAAGUUUUGAUUUUUCAUUUAUGGUAACGUUCUAGGAGCUUAGAUGCCUUAUAAUGUCAACUUAUGUUUGUUUUAUAAACUAUUAUUUUUAUACUUAUUUUAUCAUAAGUACAUUAGGACAAGUUUGCUCAAAUUGAUCAAAUGUUUAAAAUCUUUGCAAUCGGUGGCAUUCAUGUGUAGAGUUGUGUUGCUAGGUGUUUCCAUUUUGAUGUGAUUGGUUAUUGUUUUUUAGGUUGAGAAGGAUAGAGAGAUAGAGCGGUUGAGGACGGAGGUGAGCGAGCUGCACAAGUCAAAGAGGCAGUUGAUUGAGUUGAAUGAACAGAAGGAUUUGGAGCUUAGUGAGAAGAACACUACCAUCAGGAGCUAUCUUGAUAAGAUUGUGAGUUUCUUUGCAUUUUGGUGUUGUAGUUUGUUUUGUUUUUUUGGUGAAUGCUUGUGUUGAUGCUUGUGUUUCAAUGGUGUUGUUGAAGAUCCAUUUGACAGAAAAUGCUGCCCAUAAGGAAGCACGCCUCAGUGAAGUUGAGGCAGAAAUGGGAAGAUGCCGGGCUGCUUGCACCCGCCUUGAGCAGGUUCAGUAUAAUUUUUCUUUGAUUUACCAUUAGUUUUACUGCCUAAGAGGUAUAUAAGUGCUACGUAGUUCCUUUGCUUGACUUUUUUUUCUUCUUGUAAAUGACUAAUUUCUAAUUGGAUUACAGCUAUGCAAUUUAGUAAUGGACAUUUUAAAUGAGCUAGUCUGAUUUGUUGUUACCUACUGCUUGUGUUAUGUGCUGUGCAUUACUCCUUUUGUCUUGAGUGAACACAAAACACUUCCAUUUUUUAUCUCACUACAACCAUUUAAUGCAUGUAAGCAGGAAAAGGAGAUUGUUGAACGGCAGAAUGCUUGGCUUAAUGAGGAGUUGACUACUAAAACUAACAGUUUCUUAGAGCUGCGCAGAAAACAUACAGAAUCAGAAUCCGACACAUCUUCUAAACUUGCAGAUGUGAGUAUAAUAUUAUAUUUUAAAACUACUAUGUACUAUGUACUGUGUACUUUUAAUUUGUUUUUAAUUUUUUGUUUGAUUGUAAUUUGAUCUUUUGUCAUCACUCUCAGGUUGAAAGACAGUUGAGUGAAUGCUCUAAAUCUCUGCAAUGGAAUAAGGAUCGAGUAAGGGAGCUUGAAAUGAAACUUAAAUCUAUGCAAGAGGUUGACAACAUUCCAUUCUUUUUAUCUUGCAAUGUGAUGUAUGAUUCUUUACAUCCGAAACCUUGCCUGAUCGAGCUUUUAUACACUUGUAGGAAUUAAUAUCAGCUAAAGAUGCUGCUGCAGCUAACGAAGAGCAAUUAUCUGCUGAACUUUCAACUGUGAGUGCUAUGGCAUACAUGAACGCCUUCCCAAAAUAAACCCCCAAUUUUUUCCCUUUCAAAUACUGCUAUAAUAUGCUUAGGCAUUUGGAAAUAGCGGCAUGGCUGUCUUACAUAAAAAAAAUCUUUGCAAAUUUAAAUAUUUAUAUUCAAUUCUUGAACUUGACAACAACCUGACGCAUGGUAGAUUCAUAGCAUAUGGCUAAAGGUCAUUUUUUCUUAAUUAUAUCUUAAAUUUAAUCCAUAGACAGUCAUAUUUUGCAUUCAUAAUUUCACAGUAAUUUUGACAUCAUUUUCAUAACUUCUAUUAAUGUUUUUUUUUGCCAUAGCCGCUUAGUGGUCUGUUCUAUCAUUAAAUACAUUGCACACAAAAUAAAUUAAACAAUAAAGCAAAUGCUGGUUUCCUUCCCUAUAUUUUGCCCUGUCAAUGAGUUAUAAACUUCAGUCUGCUAGUCACAGUCUCAUAAUCGAAAAAUCAUUUAUUCAUCACGUGUCAGGAAUAUGGCGAGUUGUGGUAUCACAUGUAGUUUGUCCAUCUUGGAGGGUAAAAUUGAAUAUGUUAUAGGGAGAAAAUGCUUCAUGUAUGAUGCUCUUUUUUACAUUAUAGAAUCUGAAAUUUCAGCUUCAAUGUAAAUACCAUUGAGUAAAUGGUUUGUAGUCAUGCAUAGUCAUUCAUUUUUCAUGGUCACUGUUUUUGUGCCAGCAACGUUUCUAAGAAUGUCAAACAUCCUAUGUUAUUCAUUUUGAUAAUAAAAUAAAAUGACAGAAAAGAGAGGUGUAGUACAACAAUGAUGAGGAUGGAUGGGAGAUCCUUUAAAACGUGUAAAUCUUAUGUUUUGGCAUCUGCCACAACAUGAACUUGGGCAGCUGAUGUGUGCACUGCCCAUUUGGACCCAAAUUAUCAUUUAACAACUCCAAUCUAUAUUAUUCAGGAUAAUGAGCAUAAAUUUUAGUUCUGUAUUUUUUUCUUACCUUUUUAAAUUAAAUGAAUAUUUGCAUGUACAAUGCUAAUAGGUUAAUAAGCUUAACGAGCUUUACAAAGAGAGUUCCGAGGAAUGGUCCAGAAAAGCAGCGGACCUAGAGGGUGCUAUAAAAGCGAUGGAGGUGAAGAUUGUUUUCUAUUACACUCUUUUCUAGUGCCUGGAAUUUAUCAUAUUAGAGAUCGAGUUCUUGAAUACUUUUUGGUAAUACAUGUGUUUAAGCAGUCACACCUAAAGCAAGUUGAAGAUGAUUAUAAAGACAGACUCGAGAAGGAAUUUUCUGUUAGAAAGCAGUUUGAAAAGGUAUUUUAUUCUUUUGUAUUGAGCAGGCUGUUAUUUGAACAGAAUAGUAACUAACUUGAAUUUUUCUGUUAGCUGUUAUUUUUUGAAGUAUAUUGUUAUAUGAUAUGCUUGAAGAUGAUUAAUGCUUCAAGGGCAAGGGGUGUCUGUUUCAUUUUAUUUGUGGGUACUGGGUAGAUAUUGACUCAAAAUUUAUCACAUGUGUGGAAAUGCACAUAUAAUCUCAUUUUAUUUCUAUUUCUCUGCUUGUAGGAAGCUGCUGAUUUGAAAGAAAAGCUUGAGAAGUGUGAAGCUGAAAUUGAGACAAGCAAGAAGAUGAAUGAACUAAGCAUUCUUCCACUAAGAACCUUCUCCACUGAACCGUAUGUCUCUGUUGGUCUUUUUUUCUGUUUUGAGGCACUUGAUUAGGCUCAUUUUUCCCAUCUUAUUCUUGUGUGUGCUGCUUUUCGCUUAAGUAGCUGGAAAUGGCAAGCCUUGGGGGGCAUCGGAAAUAGAUAGAAUUUCAUUCUCAUUUGUUUGUUGAGAAACAAGGACUGGAGUAUGCAAAAAUCUGCCACUUUGAAAAAUGAAGUAACUCUUAGUAUAUUCAACUAACCUAGCAAUGAUAAUUUUCAAUCAUUUGAUUGUAGGGUUUUGAAUACAAUAGAAAUUAUAAUUUAUUUAGAAAUUAGGUAGUUCAGAGGUCAAAGCUCCAAUUUUAGCAGAAAAAGUGCAGGGAAAUACAAAAAAAAGGAACCAAACCUUUUCUGUUCAUCGACAACAAACAUGCUCAAAUUAACCUUGAAUGAUUGCCUGCUUCUCCACUUCAUUUUUCCCUUUUGCAUCAUUGUUAUUGAUUGCCCGAUCCCUCACUAUUCAUAUCUGAUGAGUACCCCAGGCCUGUCACUAUCAUAGUUAUCAAAAUGAGAGGACCUGUUUGAUUAUUGAUAUUUAAUUUUGUUUAAAUUACGAUUUUAACCUAAUUAUGGACUCUUGGACACAUAGUCAAUACAAAUAGGGUAUUUUAAAGUAAAAACGAGUAACAUAUGCAAAAGACACAAGCUGAUAUAUCAUAUGUGAACUUCAAAAAAAUUUGAGAUUUCAAGUUAUAAAUCUAGAUGUCAAAAAAGAAGUUGCUGGCCACAGUUUAAGUGAUAAAUGUGAUUCAUUAGAUUAAUAAAAAUGUAUCAAGAUUCAUGUCCAAAAAAGAUAUGCACGAAUUUUCGUAUUGAUUUGGUUCAAAGCAUUCUAAUAAUCUAUUUGUGACUAAGACAAUAAGGUUUUGUAAUUCUUGGAAAUUGAAAGCAGGAAUAUACAGAGAGUUAUGUGGAACAACACAAUAGGUUGGACAGUCCUUCCAUGUUCGAUUUUAUCACUUUGAGCUUAGAUACUGGUUGAUCUUCACAAGUGCUAGUGGCUUUGAGCCUUUGACUUUAGUAUUUAUUUGCAAUGGUAAUGUGAUGAGGUGUUUGUGAAAAAGAAAAAUUAGAAAAAGAGUGAUUCAUCUGCACUGUGAUCAGUAUAAUGGGAAUCUAAAACCCUGGUUUCAAACGAUGAUGAACUAUGAAUAAGUGCUGCAGGCAGUAUAACUACUGUAUGGGCUACACUUAAUUAAAAUGUUACUGUAUUAUCUUAAAAAAUAUAAAGAUUGGCAACCUCAUGGUUAGAUGCCGCUGUAAUUUUUAUUUUUUAAUGGCCGAGGAUGAGUUAUGCUAUUGGUUUUGUCUAGAAAACAAUGCAAGCAAUAACACUUGUCCUUAUUAUGUCUACGGCUUACUAGGCCACACCCAUGGCUGCAAUGCAACCACUUCAUUGUUGUCAGUCAAGUUAAAAAAUACUUGUAUGCUCCACUUAGGGUUUUUGUGGGCUAUUGGCUAAGGUGAUCUAAGAAGGAGCCUGCAACAACAAAUUAACGAGAUCUGCCACUUUCAAAACAUUAGGAUUUGGUUUCUAAUAGACUCAGUCCUUGCAAAGACAGUGACGCACGAAAAGUCUAAGACCAUAUACAGGUUGCCAUGUUUAUCUAGGGGGUGUAUGUUUUAGGUCUAGGAAUGACGUUCUUGGUAAUAUAUGGGCUUUUGAAUGAAUGUUCCCAUGUUGCUAAUUUGGAAAAUAUAUUCUCAGGUAUAAAGGAUCAUAUGGAAAAAGUAACUUCUCAUCUUUUGGGUUUCACAUCCUUCCCUGGCUGGGUUUGAAUUGGGUCAUAUAACACCAAUUUCAUUUUCGACCCCUGCUCUUUUUUUUUUAAUUUAUAAAAAUGGUCCAUCAUUUUCCGCCACAUGCCCCUGGCUGCCCAUGUUUGACGACCACCAUACAAAAUCUGCCUAGACACCACCAUUUUGUGGCGGUGUGAGGAAAACCCAUCACUGCUUGGCCAUGGGGUCACCAUAGUCUUCAUUUUACAACACUAAUCCUCAGUAUAGUACGAGUAUUUCUAUUUAAAUGGGGUCUCUGAAAAACAAAUUAACAAAUAUCAUUGAUAAAAGAUAAAAGAGAAAUAUGACAACCAAUUAACUUUUGAGCGGUUGUUUUACAAUGCCUUAACCUAAUAGCUUUGUUUUUACAAAAGAUAAUUUGAUCAAGCUCUUUAAUUGUAGCAAUUAGCAAAAGAAAAUUGUACUUUUCCUUUUCAAUUCAAGUUUUGAAAUUGAGUAUCUCAACAGUUUAUGUUCUUGAUUGAAAGGUAAUGUAAGUUUUCAUUUUGGCAUUUUGUGCAUGAUCAAUGUAUGUAAUUAAAUCUCUCAUCAAUCUUUCUUAUGUAUUUAGUUUCGAAAACAUGCCUAAUAAUGUAGGCCUUUAUUUUUUCCUAGGAUCAUAUUUCUCAGUACCUUCCUAUUUUGUUACAGGUGGCUGACAUCUGUUGUAGCUGAUAAUACGGAUGAAGACAAUAAUGCGAUAGUCCCAAAACUCCCUGUUGGAGUUUCUGGAACAGCAUUAGCUGCAUCACUUUUGCGAGAUGGGUGGAGUGUGAGUUAUUUGAAUUUUACUUUCAACUCUUGAUCUGUUUUUUCAUUUGAUUUGUCGAAGUUCACACACAUAAAUCCUUUUUUACUGUAUCCUUCUAUCUGUUGAAGUUAGCAAAGAUGUAUGCAAAAUACCAAGAGGCUGUUGAUGCUCUGAGACACGAACAAUUGGGAAGGAAGGAGUCAGAGGCAAUUUUACAACGGGUAUGACUGAUGUGGUCAUCUUUUUAUAUAACAUUGAUAUAAGGGAAUUUGGAGCAAACAUCAUUUAUUAUGUAUUUCUUCAUGUCUGUUUGGUACUAGUUAGUUAUCAUGAAGAAGCAUUUUGAUAAAAUUUGAUCUAAAUUUAAAAAGGUUGAAAUUUUAUCGAAUUAGCCCAAGUUCCUAAUUUCUACCCGCGGAUUCACAGAAUUAGGACAGGUCUGUGUUGGAGUAAGAAAAAAGAAACAAUUCCAUGAGAUUAUAGUGACUAGACUCUUCACAAACUCGGUCCAAAUACAUCAAAUUCCCUUCUUUUCUUCUUCUUAAGCUCGCGCUAAAUACAAUACAAUGAGUACUCUUCAAAUAUAUUUCUCUCUCCGAACUACUCCAACUACCUAACUGUAGUUAUUCUGUUUACAAGGACCUCAUGCACUUUGAUCUCUAGGUUCUUGCUUACCUUUUUUCACUCAACUUUCUGCUGGGAGGUAUAGACUAAUUAAUUGUGUAAGUAUGCAACAUCAGUUUGAAUGUGAUCGUUUUCAUUUCGCCUUCAAUUUGCAUAAAGACCCAAAUGCAAUGUUAGGGACCUGCAGAAGACCCAUGACAUGAUGUUUUUGAUGCAUAUUAAAAAUGAAAUAGAAAUUGACAAUUGUCUAAAAUAAGCAAGUGCAUUUUGUGGCAUUUGUUGUCAGUAUUGUUCACUGUUAUCUAUGAGGUUUUCAUAUUUGUGUCGUUAUAUCAAGUUUAUUAGUACACAUUUAAUUACAAGUAUGUAUAUUUGUUGAAAGAUACUGCAAUCUUCUAUGAAUUUUUUCAGGUUCUGUACGAGUUGGAGGAGAAAGCAGAAGCCAUAGAAGACGAGAGAGGUACAACUCUUUGUUGAGUUGAGUGUGAUUCAGUAAAUAGUUUGCUAAAGAAGAUAUAAUUAAUUCCUGUCCACUUUUUUGUCCUUUUUGUUGUGACCAGGUCCAAUAAGCAAUCAAAAGUUAGAACUGGAUUUAAAUCUUGAUUCUUUUUAAUUACUUUUUAAUUAUAUACCUCCCCUGGUCCUAAUUAUAAGAAAAACCAUUAAACAUUAAAAUACACGAAGUUACUUGUUGUUGUAGUAACUUUUUGGAUGUUUUAAUCUCAAUAUAUCUUCACACGAAAUUGUGAGAUAUUGAAUACUUCCACCAAUAUUAAAAAGAUAUCUUUUAAAUGAGGCUAAAGAUAUCCCCCAUACACCAUAAAUACAUCUUAAAAGUUGUAACUUUUUCUUCUAAACCGAAUCAAAAUUAUCUCCAAUUAUUUUCUGUUUGAUAGAAACUGAGAUUCAUUUUACUAUAUAGAGUGAAUUCAGACACCCAAAGAUGCAUACUAUAGAGGAAAUUCUAUGACUCAUGAAGUGAUAUUUGACCUUUUUCCUUUAGGGGCACUUUUUGUUGUUUCAUAAUCACUGAUUCAGCGUGAAAUGUAGAAUAGAUAUUAGCAAAAUAGUAAGAAUAAAAUAACUAUUAAAUAAAUAUCUUCGUGCUUGAAUUGUACUUUUAUUAUCGUUGUUGUCUAAUAGCAUUAUAUAGAGGGAGCUCAAAUAACUAUUAAGUUUGGUGGGACCUUUUCCUAGACAAAUUUAUCCUUAACAACCCAAUUCUUUUUCAAAAUUUUAAUCUACACCAUAAAUAAAGGGACUCCAAAGCUAAUUAUUAAAAUUUGGUUGACCAUUUAUGUGUUAACUGAUAACAACAACACUUGUUUUUUUCAAAUUUUAAAUUUUGCUUGCACAUGUUGUCACUGUAGACUGAAAGCUAUGCAAGUGUAUUAUCUUUGUCACGUUCGGAGCCAUACCUUUUUUGCUAAAGUUAAUAAUUGGCAAUCAUGCAGUGGAACAUGAAAAAAUGGCUGACGCAUACUCUUUGAUGAACCAAAAAUUGCAACACUCCCUCAAUGAAAAUUCUUACUUGGAGAAAACCAUCCUGGAACUAAAGGUUUGUAUAACGAAAUACAGUUUUAUCUACCGUUUUUUGUUGCAUUUAGAUUUUAUUAGUGCGGAUUUUACAGGCUGACAUCAAAAGGCAUGAACGUGAUUAUAAUCUUGCCCAGAAAGAAAUUGACGACCUUCGAAAACAGGUAAUCUGUAGAGUGUCCUUUUCAUUUUCUAGUAUUUUAAUAUGUUUGUAUAUCCAUUUCAUCAAGCAGUUUGCCUAAGAGCUUAGUUUGGAAUCUUCAUUUUUGUUAUUCUUGUUGCUGUAAUAAUAUGCAUGUUAAUGUAAAUGCCUAGAAGAACUACCAAGCCUAUUCUACAAGGCGGGCUCGGUUACACAAGUCAAUGCAUAUUACUACUUGUACAAACCAAAAUUUCAGUUAGACCACUCAGUCUUUGUUUUAAGUUUCUCUUUCUCCAAUCCAGUCCCAUUUAAUUGGAUUAUGUUCCAUUUGUAUUCUUUUCCCACUUGAGUCAAAUUGGUCUUCUUCUGUCAUGACCAAAUUAUCUUAUUUAUGCAAAUUCGGUGGUUGUUGUUAAUCCUGAUGUUCAGUUUUUGUGCAUUUGUGAUAAAGUGCCAACUUUAUCCCUGAAUCCGGUAUGUGAUUUUGGUGCAACGAAAACUUUCUUUGUAAAGCGACAAAUUUCAGCUUCAACUCAAUGAAAAUGUUGUUUUUCUAGUUCUUGCUUAGCAAGUUUUCUUCUAGUUUGUUAUUGUAACUUCUUGUGCCAACGUAGUUGUCUCUGGAUGACCACCAUCUAAUUCUGUUUGCAUUGUAGUGGCCAUUGCCAUGAUUUUAACUUCACAGCCUCUGGUAUGGGCCAGUUUAUUGACAAACUUUCUUAUAUUUAGAUUUAUUAAAGAAUUUAAUCUGUACAGGUGACAGUACUUUUGAAGGAAUGCCAAGACAUACAAGUUCGUUGUGGGUCUUUUGGUAAUAAUAUCAAUGCGAAUGCAACUAAUAUUGCCUCAAGAACAAGUACAGACACUGAAGCUGAAAACAUCAUAUCAGAGCACCUUGUAAGUUUUUUUUUGAUUUAUUUUAUCUCUUAGUUUUUGAAUUUCUGCAUUUCAUUCUCGCAUGUAAUCAUUUCAAUUUGGGAAUUGAGACACAGUUAACCUUCAAGGACAUUAAUGGACUAGUUGAGCAGAAUGUUCAACUCAGAAGCCUUGUACGCAGUCUCUCUGGACAACUUGAAAAUCAGGAGGUGGAAUUCAAGGUUGGAUAGGAAUUUUGUUUUUGCCCUCCUUAUGCUGCCGAACAUAAAGGCACCUAGAUUAUAUGGUUAUCAUUUUAUACAAUUGAAUUGCAGGAAAAACUUGAAAUGGAACUCAAAAGACAUACUGAAGAAGCUGCUUCUAAAGUUGCGGCUGUUCUGCAGAGAGCGGAAGAGCAAGGACAGAUGAUUGAAUCGCUUCAUGCAUCUGUAAGCAUUUAGUGUUUUUGAUCUUAGGAUCCUGCAGGAAUGUUUAGAACCUUGGGAGGGGGUUGGGGUUUUCUAUAAAAGAGAGGACACUGCAGGUCCUGCUGUGAUAAAAAUACCAGACUUAUAGAACCCUAAAUAUAAUUUAACUAAGUGUUGGUCUGAAUGCUCCAUUUUAUUAUGGCCCCUUCGUUUUCUAGUAUUAUUACUUCUUUUACUUGCGUUUUAUUCUCAUUAUUCGUGCCUCAGAAUUCUUACUUUCAAUUCUUACUUCUUGUAGGUUGCCAUGUAUAAGAGGUUGUAUGAGGAGGAGCAUAGUCUUCAUUUAUCUCACACCCAUUCUUCAGACGCUCUUGCAGGUUACUUAAUUGUUUAUUUGCCGCCUCUGACUCUAAAAUCUGUUCCCUCCCUCCUCACCCCUUCUGGUGCAAUUAAUUUGAAUGGAAAUGGGGCUUGAUGGGAUUGCCAACCUUCAUUCUUCAUCUUUGCUAAAAAGUUGUCAUUUUGUAAACAAUUUUUUUCAAUAAAAGGUUGUAUUUGUGUACAUCCAAUGUAAAUAGAAGGUAACCCAAGUUUCACCAUAGUAAAAGCAAAAAUAAGGCAUAGAAGUCAUGGUGACACACCAUAAGGUUUUUGAUAUCUUUUGUUUCUAUAGAUAUCCAAGUCUUGGGGUCCUUAGGUUUUCAUAAUUGAAUUUGUGAUAUCCGAAUGAAAGUCGAAAGUAAAAACAGCACAUAAUCUCUUCGGAGAACAUCUUAGUUUUAGUCAAUACACCAAAUUGUUCUGCUAUAACUUGCUUCUCUUUGGUGUUUAGGUCAUUCAUGAUUUCUUCAAGGGUUCUUCAAUUAUUGAAAAGACCCUUGUUUUAAUUUUUUACUUGUUAGUGUUACUACCUCCAAUCCAAAAUACAUGACUCAUUUGAAAAAUUUCCUUGUCCCUUUUUACAGGACCCCUUUUAUUUUUCAGCUAUAUUAGUUAUUUCUUUACUAAAUCCUAAACCCUAUCCCUUGUAUUUUUUAACUAUAUUAGUUAUUUCUUUACUAACACACCCUAAUCAUCUGGCAUUUUUUCUUGCAACCAACCAUUAGUACUAUCAUUGGAAUAUAAACUUAUUCUCUCUCUCUUGAAGGAUAAACUUAUAGAAACAAAAUCAAUUGUUAAAAAAUUUAGUAGUGGCUACCAACUAAUCACCUCAAUUUAGGUAACAUAGUUUUAUAUUUAGGGAAAGAGUACUGUGGCAGUAUGUUGUGUAUGUGCACAUAAAGUAUUGCUGUUAUGUUAUGAAAGUUGCGAGUUUGCAUUGAAUGUUAUAAUGUAAAUAAGCUUUUAGUUUUGAAAAUUACCAGCUGGCAUGUUACCUUAUAUUAGUUGUGUCUUGAUUUUUCAGCUGCUGCAGAAAUUGGAAGAAACAACGUCAAGACUUCAAUUGAAAGUUCACAGGUAAAGAUACUGUAACAAUACUUGAAUACAAUUAUAAUCGCAUACUCUUUGUUGAUGAAAAUGCUGCCCAAGUUUAAGCUAUUUGGUGAAGUCUUAUACUCUCCGUGGUCCUAUUUAUAAGAGAAAGUUGACUGUAUACUGUAUAUUAUACAGUCUAGAUACAUUGAUUAUUCAAGAACUUAAAAAGUAAAUUUUCUCUUAUAAAUAGGACCGGAGGUAGUAAAUGAUUUGUAAAUAAUAUGGCACCUUGUAGAGUGCCUGUAGCAACCCCUGCAAAAAUGUAAUUUAUUAGAUCGACAAAUUAACCUCAAAUUUUUUAAAUAAAAAUCCAAACUUAUCCCUGAGAAAAUAUCAAAACUUUAGGUUUUUAUCCGACUUCUCUUUUUUUUUUAUCCAACCUCAUGCUACAACCAUUGUAACUUCCGUGUUUUUUUCCUUUUCCAAAUCAACAUCAUUUUCAAUAUUAUUUUUUCACGGCAACUUCAUUAUUUUCAUUAUUAUGACUCUACCUUCUUUCAUGUGUUUAUUUUGUAUUCUUUAUUGUUGUUUUGUUCCUUGAGUUUCAUACCAUGACUCAUUUUUUCAUGUUUUUUUUUUCAUUUGUAUUUUAUUUGAAACAUUGAAUAUUGUGUUUGAGUUGUUUAUGAAUGGACAAAUUUCUCUUUGGGAAAAUAUACUCAAAACUGUUGAUACGCAGGACUAUUUUACUUAAUAUGAAUGUUGUAGAAUUUUAACUAUAAAAGGAUAAAUUUGUUUUAAAAUCCCUCCCUUCCCCUUGUGAACAACCAUAUAUUUAAUUAAAAUCCUUUUUCUCCACUCCUCUCCCUUCUUUUGAACCUAACACAUUUAAUUAAAAUACCUCCCCUCUCAUUCCCUCCCUUCCCUAUCUCUUCGAUUAAAAUUCUUCCCCUCCCCCUCCUGUUGAACCAAACAGACCCUUAACGGUGCUCUUGUGUGUGCUAUUUUGACUAUCCUUUGUGUAAUUUUAACAACAUACAUAAAAAAACUUAGCUAAGCCGUGAAGAAAGCGAACAUGAUGACUGGGAAAAGCUAUAAUAUAGUUAUUCUAUUUAAGGAAUCACUUGUUUUAAUUUUAAAUGCUUAGAUGAGUUAUUUUAAGCCUUGGAGGUUACAACUUAUUUGGUUUAAAUAUCAGAAACAACGAAAUCGAUUAAUUAUUAUUAACAUAUGUUCAUGUUUGUGCGUUCUUCUGUCUGAACUUUCAUGUGUAUUAUAAAUUUCUUGUUUUAUUUCCCAUCUUAGAAUUUGGGUUGGGCCUAACUCAUCCCUACAAAACCGGCUUGUAAGGUGAGGGUUGCCCCCACUUAUAAAUGCAACACUAGUCAUAUCUCUUAGCAAUGUGGGACUAAAUCUACCCCUUCAUAGCUAACACAAUGAAGGUGUUAGGGGCUACAAUGAAGACAAGCCAAAGUGCCGCAAUUAAGUCGACUAGAGGCGGACCACAAUUAAGGCGGAAAGUCCAACAGUACCUUAUGUCAAAUCUGAACUUUUUUAUAUUAUUUAUAAUACUAGGAUGUGAGUGUUUUAGGUUUGUCUGAUCUUUUUCUUAUUUUAUGAUUAUUCCUCUUUCUUAUUGUAUACUUCUUUGUUUGAAAAUUGAAAUUAUUGUGAUGUAACCUAUCAAAUGUUUUUUUGUUACAAUAAUUUGUCAGAUUAUUAGUUGUAACCUUUUCAUGGUAUGUAUCGAUCCAAUGAUGGGCCGUAUAUUUAACAUUUAUAUAUAUAUUUUUUGUUUUCAUUAUUAUAGGAAGCUGCUAAGAAGUCUCUUGAAAAAGCUGCAGAGCGUGUAAGAUGUCUUGAGGAUGAUUUAGCAAAGUCUAGGUAAGGUUUUACUAAAUUGAUAUGAUAUUUUUUAUUGUUGUUUAUUAUGUAUUUUACUAUAAGUCUAUUGCCUCAUAACUACUACUUAGGACAUAUUGAGACUAAGCACAUCCCUUGACAUCCAGCAUAAUGAGGUGCCUGAGGCUGCAAUGAAGAUAGCCCCAAAAUUACUGAUAUAAAAGUGGCCAAAUGCGGACUGCAAUUGAUGUGGUUUUUCAACUUACAUUUUCAUGCGCAACAGUAGAUCCUUGAUAUGCUCUAAUACUACCCUAUAAUUUGUGUUAAGGGUCUAACGCAACCUCACAAAAUUUGAUUUGGGAUAAACAUACCCCUUCACACCUAACACAAUGAAGGUGCUGAAGGCUGCAUUGAAAGCCCAAAUUUGCCACGAUUAAGGCAGCUAGGAGCAGGGCUGGCUUUAAGAUGGCUAUCCAACAUUUUAAUACUGUUCCUAGUUACUAUCAUGUAGUUUGCAAUAGCCAAAUGACCAGAAAUAUCCUGUUUGUGUCCUAAAUUUUUUAUUUUUUCCAGUGAAAAAGAGAGACUAGGAUUUGGAGUUCUCUUCUAUUAGUAGAAAUAAGGGGUAGAGUUUGUCCCUCUCAAUAGCAUUGCUCAGUAUAAUAUUAUAAUUGGCUGAAACUUAGAAAUAUUCUAAUACUACUAAAUUAAGAACAUUAAGUUAUACUGGUUACUUAUGGCUACUUGGUGCUUCAAAUUUCCUAUUAUGCACAUCGGCUUCAAAUUUUCUAUUAUGCACAUUCACUAUGUAGUUCUAUAGUGGGUUGCCUUUUUUCAUGUGUCAGCAAUUUCUAUUUCUAUACAAUUAUGCCUCUUGUUGGUUAAUAGUGUUCAAAACUUAUUUUCAUUGAGUAUUUCUUUUGAUACAUUGAUUGAAUAGUAUAGAUGGCCUAAAGAGAAACUAUAGAACAGUUUCCCAGGUAUCCAGUGUUAUAUUUGUUCAACUAAAAUAACUGAACUAGUUAAUGAUCCAGGUUUACAUUACAUGUAUAAUGUAUCACUCAUAGUUGUUGAUGUAACAAUAUUUUUAAAUUUUCUGACCAUCUUUGCUAAUCCAAUGUUAGAUAUUGUGUGUGUGCUUGUCAAACCUAUAAGACCCUUUUAUAUUAAUCCCAUUCUUUUAAUGAUUCUUUGGAUUAUCAAAAGUUCAUGAUCCAUCUACUACUCUUGCUUUCUUUUUAGCUUCAUAGCUAAUUUCUUAGGCUGAACUUUUGCGUGUUUUCAGGAGCGAGAUUAUUGUAUUACGAUCAGAACGUGAUCCAUCUACUACCCUUGCUUUCUUUUUAGCUUCAUAGCUAAUUUUUUAGGCUGAACUUUUGCGUAUUUUCAGGAGCGAGAUUAUUGUAUUACGAUCAGAACGUGACAAAAUGGAACUAGAAGCAAAUUUUGUUAGAGAGCGGCUCGAUAGCUUUACGAAGGAAUUUGAUUUCCAGGCAAUUACUUUCUGUGAUAUCAAGUGUUUUGUUCAUGCACACCUGUAUUGUACUAAUUUAUGAACUUUUUUGAGAAUAUAGAAAGCUGAAGCAAAAGGCAUUUUAGCAAGAAAUGUAGAGUUUUCUCAGCUAGUUGUCGACUACCAACGAAAAUUGCGGGAGAGUUCAGAGUCAUUGAAUGCUGCUGAGGAGCUCUCUCGGAGACUCUCUAUGGAGGUUGAGAUUUUCUUGAAGUUAAAAAUGUUUCUGAUUACAUUUUUGUGAACUUUGAACAAAGAUAUAUUCUUUCCUUAAUGAACUCAUUUUCUGUUGUUAUUUCAGUUGUCUGCUUUAAAGAAUGAAAAGGAAGUCUUAUCAAAUGCCGAAAAGAGAGCAUCUGAUGAGGUUCGCAAUUUAUCUGAAAGGGUGUACCGCUUGCAGGUCAGGAUUAUUCCUUAUUUAAUACUUAUAUUUCUCAAAUUUUGCAUAUUCUUACUCUUUCCAUUCUAGGCUACAUUGGGUACCAUACAGAGUGCUGAAGAAGUUCGAGAGGUAGAUUAUUCUCCUCAAUGUGUUACGUUAUUACUUUUCCAAUACUUUCUUUAUGGAAGUUCUAUCUGUUUUCUAAUAUGUAGGAAGCAAGAGUUGCAGAGAGGGUAAAACAAGAAGAACAUUCAAAGCAAUUGGAGGUGAGUUUUCUUCUUUCUUGGGAAUAUUCUCUAUUUACCGGUGAAUAUUCUCUAUUGCGAGUCCCAUUAUUGUGCUGUGUUUCACGGGUCUCUGCUUCUGAUUUUCUGGCGAGUUGGUUUUCCAACUUUUUUCUUCUACUGUCUGUGUUCAUGUUCUCCUCCAGCGUGUUCAUUCCGUUGGUCGUCACCCGUCAUCACCAUGCUUCAACUAGCUGCACAUUCUAAAUUCUAAAUCUAUAUCAAAAGAUUAUUAAAUAAACAAAGACAUUUUAUGAUGUCUACAAUCUCUCAUGCUACACACUUGUUGAUUCUCAGUUAUAUUUAUUUUAUAUCAAUCACUCAUUUCGUGUCCUAUAUAGCUUUUAAAGUUCCUGUAUCCCCACGUCCAUGAUGUAUCAUUCCUUUCCUGAUGUUGAACACAUGCUUUUAUAGUACAUAUUCGGCAUUUUUUAUUGCUAUUGUUUUAUCUCAGAGGGAAUGGGCUGAAGCCAAGAAAGAGUUACAGGAAGAGAGAGAAAAUGUGCGGAGACUUGCUCUUGAUCGAGACCAGACCAUGAAAAAUUCUCUGAGACAGGUUGAGGAUAUGAGCAAAGAGUUAACUAAUGCACUGGGUGCACUUGCAUCUGCAGAAUCUAGGGCUGCUGUGGCUGAGGUAUUUUUUUGGUUGCUCUCUUUUGUAUGCUUUAUUUUUAUUGUUAUUAAUUGUUCUACUUGUAAAGAAACAUUGGUCUCUAUGCACAGGCAAAACUCUCAAGUAUUCAAAAACAAAUGGGUUCCACAGAUGGGAAGGUUUGUUUUAUUAGUAUUGUUAUGAAUAUCUUUCUACCACGUUUCCCCUUUUCAAAUAUCUGAGGAUCAUUUUGGUUUUUUGAGUUCCUUUUUGUUUAGAAAAUGGAAACGUCAUUAGUUGCGAACUUGCGAUGGUAUGGUUAAAUAAAUAUAAUGAAAAACUUGUAACGUGAUAGUGCGAGACUUUUUAAUUUCCAACACUCCCCCUCAAAUCUAAACGGGACUCUUAUUUUCUUUUACCCGUUUGAGACUUGAAAAGUUUUUUUAUUCUUUUUAUGGGCUUGUCCUCAAUGGCCAUUUGGCUACCGGUACCCUCUUUUUCUUUUCAUAAACCUGUUAUUGAGUCUCAAGGCCCAGCCCAGUAGUUUUUUUGUUAGCUAGGGGAUUUGACUCUGAUACCAAUUGGGGAUUAUUGCGCAGUCCGAAUAGUGUUGUAUAUUAGUUUACUUUGUGUUCUUAAGUGUGGAAGCCCAUAGCCAAAAGUUCAAAUCAAUGGACUCAAGUGUUGGACUCAAGCUCUCUACCACUUAUAAACACUUUCAUUUUCUUUGUUUCCCUCCUAUGUGGGACUUAGUUCCAACAUAUAUUAAUUGGUGUUUAAUUAGAUUUUCCACUGUCGCUUUCUUGCAAACUAUGUUAUUUUCUUCUCCCGUUAAUUCUAACACCUUGUAUUACUGAAUACAGCUUGUCAAUAUGGAUUCAGUGAGUGGACCUUCCAUUUUAUCAAAUGAUGAGGUGGGCGUGCAUUUAUAUAUCUUGAUUUCACCUCUACUGCAAUGCAUUUGCUUGUGCCAUUUUUUAUGAAAUAAACCAAUAUUUUCUGUUAUUAAAGUGCACUGUGUUCAGUUGAAUAUAUACUGUAGGUAAGUGAAAACCCUGUUGCUUAGUCUAUUUGGGGUGAAGCCUCCUUCUGUUUACUUGUGAAUAAAAUUUGGGUGACUUCCUCACCCUCUUUGGAAAGUUAAUACCUACAAAUAACAGUAACACGAUGUGGACUACCCGCUAAUACUUCCUUCCGCUUAUUUACAAAUAACAAUUGAUAUAUUUUAAUGGUUGAUUUUUCUAUCUAGGAUGAGACAGAUAAAGAUCCCGUCAAUAUUUUAAAUCUAAACUGAAGAAUUAACUGCCCGGUUAUAUGAGUUAUAAAUAUUUGUUACUAUAAAGUAGGAGGUAUCAUAUAAAACAAAAUCACGCAGUAGUAUUUAUUUGGCAGAUUCAAAGCAAAUUCAUGUAGUAUUUCAACUUCCAAGCAUUUUGCUCGUGAUAGCAAAAGGCUUGAAUUGAUAGGCUUUGAGCUUGAAGACUCUACUAAGCUACGUGUGCUUUGAGAUUAUGAACUUUGAGCUUUAGAGGAUAUUAAUCAUAGCUAUUAUGUUUUUCCAUUCAUUUAUAGUUGUGCAGGAAGAUUAUAUGAUUUAUGCAAAUAUGGAUUUAAAAGAAAAUGGUUUCCAACAAAUUAUAAUAUCUUAAAAAAUGCAAGGCCUAAUAACUGAGGUUGUAGUCAGCGAAGGAUACAUAAUGUAAAUUACUUGGGGCAAGGUCAUAUAUACCAUAAAUUGAUAUAAUAAUACAUGUUUAACUAUCAAUAAAAUGAAAAAUUAUUAAACGACUUUUACUAAAAUUAAAUAAUUAACUUAACUUCCGUCUGUCCCUGGUUGUGUUAGCUUUGAAGGAGUGGAUUUAGUCCCACAUUGCCUGGAGAUAUUGCCUGUGUUGUGUUUAUAAAUGGAGGCAAUUCUCACCUUACAAGCUGGUUUUGUAGGGAUGAGUUAGGCCCAACCCAAAUUCUGAGAACAAGUUUUACCGAAAAGUUGAUUAGACAAAGUAUGUCCAUAGUGGUCCAAGUGAUUGUUUUUGUAUGGACAUGAAUGUUCUAUUUAUAUAGCACGUCAUCAACUAGAAAAGUCUUCGAUUGUUACACUGUUGCACAGGGCUUAUAAUCGGAAUGAAAGUUUUUCUUAUUUAUUUCUUGACGUGUGUGAAUUCUCCCAAGAUAAAGCAAAUUUAAAUUUUCCUUUUUUACAUUUAAAUUUUUCUACAGUGCAUUGGAAUGUUGGACUUGUGUUGCAUUUCUGUUUGACAUUUACUUUCUUAACCUGCUCUAGGUCACUGCUGAAUUGCAAACAGCAAAAGAAGAGAUUGAGAAACUGAAAGAAGAAGUACAUGCUAACAAAGCACACAUGCUGCAGGUUAUCAAUUUAUUCUUUUCAAUCAUUUGAUUUUAAAAUUUUAACUAAACUAACUGCCUCUUUACAUUUUACAUUGAAGUAUAAAAGCAUUGCUGAGGUGAAUGAAGAUGCACUGAAACAAAUAGAAAGUACACAUGAGGACUACAAGAUAGAGGUACUCUAGCAUGGCUGAAUCUUGAAAUGUAUUUCAAUGCCAUUUGUUGUUUUUCAAAAUAGGCUUAAUUGUAUUUUUAGCCCAUCUAUUAUUGCUAGAAUUUCUGGCCCUUAAACAUUUCAGAUCAAAAUUAGUUCCUCAACUUUUAAAUUGAUAAAAUCAAGUCUUCUCCAUCACCUUCCUUUUUCCUAAUAUUAAAAUUGUCAACUUCUCUCAAUCUGUUCAAAAUUUUCACAUAUUAAAUCAAUGAAAUUGUAAACCUUCUCUACUAAAAAACACACCAAUCAAUCCAGUGAAUUUCACUGAAAAGUAAAAACAAAAAUACAAAUUCCAGUCCUCAAAACCUAACAACACAUUUUACAAAAACUCUAAAAGUUAUCAAAAUUUCAUUGUACUAUACAAAUUAUUUUAUGACUCAACUCUCUCACUGUACUACUACUAGGGCUAUAUUUUCUAAACUUUUGAAUUAAAGGGGCGUUGGUUAGUUUGAAAAAACUAGAGCCACAGCAAUCCCACACUCCAAACUUGGAGGCCUAAAAGUCUAAUUAAACCUGCUAAUUAUAUUUUGUUUGUAAACACAUUUAGGUUGACAAUACAAAGAAAGCUCUAGAAGCUGAACUGCAUUCACUUAGAGAGAAGGUUUCAGAGCUUGAAAAGGAAUCUAGUUUGAAAUCUGAAGAGGCGGUAUCUGCAACUACUGGAAAGGAAGAGGCUCUGACAUCUGCUUUGGCUGAGAUAACAAAUCUUAAAGAAGAAAUUUUAACCAAAACGUACGUUUUAUCUUUGUACUGCAUUGAUAAUUUUACCCCUUCUUUGGCUAGAUGUAACUAACAUUUUAUGCAUACAGUUCUCAAAUUUCAGAGAUGGAAAUUCAGAUGUCUGGUUUAAAGGAACACCUAGACAAGGAGCAUCAGAAAUGGCGUUCUGCUCAAACGAAUUACGAAAGACAAGUUAGUACACAUUUUUUCUUUAGAUAGUAUUGGAGUUGUUUGUUUGAUUUGGUUGGUUAUCUCGGAUGCUGGACUGCUGAUGCUAUUUGUGACUACUAUUUAAAUUCAAGUAGCUGGAAAAUAACGAACCUUACUUUGGCUUAUCAUUAGUUAUUUAGGAGUGUCGACUGCUUUCCUGCAUCGAUUUUUUAUUUAUGGGUUUAUUUUCUGUCUUGGUCUCCAAUUUUGUGUAGUUUGAUCCACUUUCACUGAUGUAGUUUAUCCUUGUAUCAGAAAUGUGUAAAUAAAGUUGGUCUUCUUAAUAUGCCUGUGUGCUUAUUCAUUAAUGUGGUAAUGAAAGUGGGUGUGAUGUGCUGUUUCUCUUAAAAUAUGUAAAGGAAGCUUUUUCUCUAUUUGCACUCUUUUUUUACGCCCAUUUCUCCAUCUGGGAGUCUUUGUAUUGCUUAAAUGCGGGUAAUCUUUCGUAGCUCCUUUAUCAUCAAAGCUUACACACAUAUAUUUGACCUCUAUCAUGCCAUAAUUACAUGCAAAUAUCUUAUUGAUUCUUUUGAUAUUUUUCCUUAUGACUUUCAAGCUUAAUCCUCCUAUUAUUUUUCCCUUCUGGAUUUCUUGUCUCUGAUGAUUUUGCAAUAUUGGAGUCUUAAGUGGGGAUGGCAUACCCAAAAAUUAGCAUCAUGUUUUUUUAUCAUUUGUUAUGUUUUAUUCUAUUUUGCUAAUUUACCACUUUGUUUUCAUAUAUAUAUAUAUAUAUACACAUAUAUAAUAUAUAUAUAUGACGAAUACAUGUUAUUCCAUGACUUCUUUCUACUGCAAUUGCUUGUUUGUUCAGACAAAUAUUGCAACUUCGGAAUAUUUGAUUUCUUUUCCCUGCUUCUAAUCUUUGAUGAUUUGUAUUUCUCAGGUUGUUCUCCAGUCUGAGACUAUUCAGGAGUUGACUAAAACAUCUGAAUUACUAGCCUCGCUGCAGGAGGAGGCAUCUAAAUUACGUAAAUUAACUGAUGUUCAGAAAAUUGAAAAUGUAAGAUUUCCUAUCAAUUUAAUAUUUAAGUUUACUAUUUGUUUCAUUUUCAAUACAUGAGUACACUAUAUUUUAAUUAUGUCUCUCUGUUAAGUUCAGAAAUUCAUUGUGGUGUCUGAAACCCAUGAAAGAAUCUGUACGUUAAAUAUCAGUGAUUUUUCUCGAUGAAAUGUUUGAAUAAUGUUACCUGAGGUUUUAUACCCAUAUUUGGCUUCCAAAUGGAAUAAGUGGGCAUAGUUUCAGAUUGCACAUCAGUGGUAUUGGCUAACAAUUUUGCGAGUUUGUCAAGCUGAAUUGAAAGGGGCCUUAAUAAAUUGCUUAGGUGGCACACCACUGAAUGCAUCUUAGGAAGUAGUGAUAGCUUUAUUGCUCCGUUGUAAAUUGCAUCUUUUAUUUAUUUUCCUUGUAAUUUCCCAGUAUAUAAAUUAAGCAAGUAUGCUGCAAAGUAUAUAAAGGAAGUAAAUUGCAUCUUUUUAUCUUUCUCAUUCUGAAAUAAUUGUUUGUCCCAGUUAUUGUGCAAUAUUCUCAUGCUAUUGAUUUUACAUGACUUUGGUUUGCAUCAAUCUAUGAUGUGAAAAUAUAAUGAAACAUUAUUGGAUAGGUGUUUAAAACAUGUUUUCAAUGUGAUUGAUUGUUGUUUACUUAAUCAAAGAAACGUUGUUCUUUUCUUUAGAAACAAAUUGCCUUGUUAACAAAGUGGGUCAUUAAAUAUUUGUUACCAACUUACCAUU
Molecule: long non-coding RNA, 52910 nt
Filed under: Lathyrus oleraceus (garden pea)
Lineage: Eukaryota; Viridiplantae; Streptophyta; Magnoliopsida; Fabales; Fabaceae
Description: Pisum sativum (pea) long non-coding RNA (PSAT_LNC032519)
Source: RNAcentral